RNAcentral lists this long non-coding RNA (72556 nucleotides) under Capsicum annuum. Its description in RNAcentral is "long non-coding RNA (CANN_LNC013534)". The record is from RNAcentral. Lineage: Eukaryota; Viridiplantae; Streptophyta; Magnoliopsida; Solanales; Solanaceae.
UAUUAUUAAUAUAUUAUUAUUAAAAGAAUAUAUAUACAUACAAUAAUUUAUGCGUAAUACAAUUUCCAGGCUCCCUAUUUUCUUUCUUGUUUCUCUCUCUCAACUAUUGUCACUGCCAGUGACGACAGCGACAUUGGUCUUCUUCCGUUCGGAUGAGACAACGACGGUGGUGGACUAGUGACAACGAUUUUAGUUGACCGGCGGUUUGGAGGAGAUGACGGGGAAGGAUGAUAGUGAUUUUCUGGUGAGCAGCGGUGGGAGAGAGGAAGAUCGGUGCCUGUGGUAGCCGGCUCUCCGAUGUUUUCUCCGGAUCUGGUUGGGAAGGGUUAACGACGGGAAAGGGGAAGAAGCGGACGACGCAAAGCUUUGCCGGCGGCGGGAAAGGGGUGGCAGUUGAGGGAUUCCGGCGAUGGGGAAGAGGGAGUUGACAUUGGUAAACGUCGGAGAAAACACUGGUUUAUGCGUUUUUUGACAAAUUUUCACCGGAUCUGAUUUUUUUUUUUUUUAGUGAUUCCGAUGGGUUUCACCGGAGAAAAUGGAGGCAAGAUGACUGAUGUUUUGUAUUCCGACAGAUUUCGUUAGUGAUGGUUUUCUUACCAGACUUUGACGAAACAUCACCGGAAAACGAAACAACUUUCAAUUAUUCCAUGUUUCUAUUUGACUGAUUUUUCAUCAAUUAGUUUACUAUGUAUAGUGGAUAUGCAUAUGUAUUAUGCAGUAUAUCUAAUGCUCACUUUUCAUAUAUAUAUAUAUAUAUAUAUACAUCAAAAUAAAAAUAUAUGUAUACUUACAGGAGAAAGUUAUCAAAAUAUGCAACUUUUCAUCUAAUUCACACCCCUUAUUUCAAAGUACUAAACUAUUAUGAUGUACCUUUCCUUGGGGUAAAGUGGUCAUGCAUUUACAAUAAAAAACUACAAUAAAAAUAAACCAAAUCCCAUGCAGCAUACACAGAUAUACCAUUUGAAGAUAUAUAGACAGUAAACUCCAAACCAAUAAUUAUAAGUUAGUAUCCACACAUCAGAAGCUAUUAUAAGCAAUUAUUGGUACUUAAACUAGAAAUAUUAAUUAUUAAUUAAUGAUUUAAAAAUCUGAACAGAAGAAACGGAUAAUAACAAGUUAGACCCAUAAACAAUUUGAACUACUUCGUAAUAAUUGAAUCAAGUCUCAUACAAUUGUGUUGUGAAACUAAAUUACAUCGAGGGUUACCUCUUGGGACACUUUACUUUUAAUAGCUAACGUUCAAAAGCCGCAAACCAUAAACCACGAACAAACCUCAAAGUUUGGGACGUAAGAUUUUUUUUCUUAGUUUCCUCUUGUGUUGUUCAAUCUCCUCUCCGUAAUCCCUCUUUUUUUUCAUGUAGUGCGUGUGUUUUUCUAUAUAUAAGUGCAUGUGUGUGUGUCAUGGGUUGUGUGGGGGAAAAGUGGGAGAGGUUAAGUAGAAGUGGGAAUUGUGGGUGGUUUGGGUAGUUUAGGUUUUUUUUUUUUAUUAUUAUUAUUAUUAAUAAUAAGAUAAAAAUACUUAAAAACUAAUAAAGUAUAACAUAAGCUAAUAACUAGUCUUGGGAAUAUGAUUAAGAAAUAUCACACCAUUCUUUAUUAAAAUUGAAAGAAGAAACAAUUUUUUUUUUCUAAAAAUAAAUAAAUAAAUAAAUAAAAACUAAAAAUGAAACUUAUUUAAAAUGUGACUAUUUUUGUAGUUUUCAAAAUUUUUAAAACAAACUUUGUUAAACUAAGAUAAAAUUGAAAUAUCUAACUUAGACCUAAAAAUAAAAUACAUAUAUAUAUUAAACACUAAAAAUGACGUAAAACAUUAGGUUUUGGUCAAAAAUUAGGUGUUUACAGAACAUAUCAUCAACAUAUAAACAUAUAAUUACUACACAAUUUGGAGUGUUCUUGAUGUAAAUAUAUUUAUCACACUUAUUAAUCUUAAAUUUAUUUAAUAACAUUGUUUGAUAAAAUUUUGCAUGUCAUUGUUGGUCCAUGCAUAUUCUUCCUCCAGUUCUCCAUUAAGAAGGUUGUCUUCUCAUUCAUUUGUUAAAUUUGAAGAUCAUACACGAUGACUAAUGCCAUCAACACUUGAAUAGAAGUGAUUCUUGUUACCGGCGAGUAUGUGUCAAAAUAAUAAAGACCUUUUCAUUGUCUGAAUCCUUUUACAAAUAGUCUUACCUUAUAUUUAUCAAUAGUGACAUCAUCUUUCACUUUCUUUUUAAAGAUUCAUUUAAAACUCAAAGGUUUAUUUCCUGGAGGAAGAUGAUUAACCAAUUUUCAUGUAUGAUUAUUCAAUAUAGAUUUUAUUUUUCUAUUGAUCGCUUUUUUCAAUAUUGUGCUUCUGAUGAAGACAUUGCUUUCCUAAGAGUUUGUGGCUUAUUUUCUACUGAAAAUGUCAAGAAAUAGAAACCAAAGAAAGUUGAUUUCUUUUGAUAUUUCCUACUUCUUGAAUUCUCCUCAUUAGAUAAACUUUUCUUUCAUUCUUCCCGAGGUCGUUUUAAAUAUCUUGCUAGAUGACUCACAUUCAUUCUUAUACGGAUAAAUAUUUUUUUAAAAAUUAACAUUAUCUGAUUCAAUUAUCAUAUUCACACGAAUGUCAAAAUUUUCUAAUGUAUGAACCAAAAAAUGAUAUGAUUUGCUAUUGGCAGCACAUCUGAUGAAAAAACAGUCAAUUGUUGUCGGUCUUAAUUUAAUCUUUUUGAAUUUAGGAACCUGUACUUUAGCCAAACACCUCCACACUUUAAAAUAUUUCAAGCUGGGGUUUCAUACUUUUCAUUUUUCAUAUGGAAUAUAUUGUGCUUUUCUAUGAGCCAUAAGGAUAGCUUUUCCCCAUAAGUUCGGGGGUAAAUCAGAACUUGUCAACAUAACAUUCAUUAUCUCCAUAAUUUUUUUUUUUUUUUUUUUUUUUGCAAUUCCAUUGGAUUGGGUGAAUAUGAGGCAGUUGUUGAUGAAUAAUGUCAUAUUCCAAACAUAUUUUUUCAAAAAGAGAUUCAUAUUCUCCACCCUUAUUACUUCUAAUCAUUUUAAUUUUCUUAUCAAGUUGUGUUUUAACUUUAUUUUUGUAUUGCUUGAAUGCGUCAAUUGCCUCAUCUUUUCUAUUAAGCAGAUAAUAUAGCAAUACUGAAUGCUAUCAUAAAUAAAGUUAUGAAGUAUCUUUUUCCAUCAGGGGAUUGUAUUGAGCUCAUGUCACAAAUAUUUGUAUGGAUUAAGUCUAACAGAUUUGAAUUUCUUUCAAUCAACUUAUAAGGAUGUUUCACAUACUUAGAUUUCACAUAUACUUGACAUUUCAAAUUGUUACUUUCAAACUUAGGUAAUAUUUUUAAGUUAAUAAUUUUCCGCAUGAUUUUAUAAUUUUACAUGUCAUAAACGUGCAUGCCAUAAAUGAUUUAAUUCAAGAAAGUAAGAAGAAGCAAAAAUCUUAUUCAUAUCGACUGAAAUUACAUUUAAUUUGAAAAGGCUCUAUGUGAGGUAACCUUUUCCUAUAUACAUGUCAUUCUUACUCAUUACAUCUUUAUUAGAUACAAACACACACGUAAAAUUAUUUUUGACUAGAAGUGAUGUCGAGGUCAAAUUCUUCUGGAUUUCAGGAACUUGAAGAACAUCGUUAAGGAUCACUAUCUUGCUCGAAGUCAUCUUUAAGCCAAUCUUGUCAGUUCUUUCUAUCUUUGUUGUUGCUGAAUUCGCCAUACAAAUACUCUCUCCUUCUCUUGAAGAAGUAUAGGAUGAAAACAGCUCCUUCUUGGAACAAACAUGACGAAUAGUGCCUGAAUCAAUUCACCAUGCUUUGAAAUUUCCCACCAAGUUAUACUCUGAGGGCAUUGCACAUAGUUUGUAUACUUUUUCAUUCAUGUUUUCUCACUCUUUCAUCUUAUCUUUCUAAUGUGCACGACAAACCAAAGACAUGUGGCCAAACUUGCCACAAUUUUAACAAUUUUUUUAUUUUUUUAUUGGUGUAUCCUUUUCUUCAUCAAACUUCUUUCUUUUCUUCUUCUUUGGAGGAUUUUUAAUAAUGUUUGCACCUGCGAUUGAUGAUUUUGCAUAGGCUUUCUAUUCUGUAAUUUUAUUGUCUUCUUCAAUUCGCAGAUGAACAAUCAGAUCCUUCAACAUCAUUCUUUUCUCUUAUAUUUCAAGUAGCUCUUAAAGUCCUUCCACAAAUGAGGUAAUUUUUUGAUAAAGACUGCCACUUGAAAAGCUUCAUUAAUGAUAAUUCCUUUAGCACACAAAUCAUGGAUGUUAACUUAUAGACAUAACAGACUUGUUGUCAACCAUCUUAAAUUCUAGAAAUUUGAUAACCACAAAUUUUUUUUCGUCUAACAUCUUCUGUUUUGUAUUUUUUGUUCCAAGUAUCCCACAAUUCUUUCAAAGUUUGACAAACACUCUACAUAUAAUGCAGAUCAUCUUCUAACCUAUCCAGAAUAUACUCUUGCAAAAUGAUUCCAUGCCUCAAUCACUAGAAAACGCUCUUUCUUAGGAGUGUCAUCCAAAAAGGUUGGAACGUUCUCGGUAAUGCACCUCUGCAAACUAAGAGUGGUCAGAUAGAAAAAUAUUUUUGUUGCCACCUUUUAAAGUUAACACCAAAAAACUUUUUGAGUGUUUUUGUCGCAGUCAUUACAAGGGUGAUGCGACUUGAUGAAACAAUAUUCAUUGUCCUAGAAGUAGAGGCCAUAAUAGUAUUAGUUGAUUCUCCCAAUUCUAUUCGAAAAUACACAAACAGAAUUAACAAACUUUUUAAGAAUAAAAAAGUUUUUAUCCACUCGAUGAAGUAAGAAAAACAAAACUUUUAUUAACUUGAUGAAGUUUUUACAUUCUUCAAAUCGAGUAAUGAAAUAAAAAAUUAUAAGAUUUUAAUCUCCCACCAAACCAGAAUAAAAGAAGAGAAAAUCCUCAUACAAAAUAAAACUUCUUAAACUUGCUAUUUUUUUUCUUUCUUAAUAAAAUCAAUUACAACUGCAAUGAUUGAUUUGAAAUCCUACUGGCUUCACACUACUUUCUAAUGAAGUUCAAUUAUAAAGAUUAAUGGUUUAUGAUAUUUUGAAUGCUUAAUAUCUAAUAUAAUUAGCUAUAUUAUUAUAAAAACGUUUACAAGUAAAAAUGCCAUUUGUAAUAUAUGAACAAGUAAAAAGACAUGGAUGAAGUAUUAUAUUGCUAAUACAACAAUGGUUAUUUCUUACAAUAGUAUUACGGAAAUUACCACAUAAUUACUAGUGUGGAUAUUGCUAACAAGAAAUUAAACUCCUGUUUAUUAAUGCAAAAUUUAACAUUGAAAUAUUUAUUUAUUUAUUUUACUAGCAAUACGGGUAACUAAGCAUCCCUUGUUAACUUAUCCAAACUUAUUCAAGAGAAAUGUGAUUCAUCUUAUCCUUGUUCCUCCUCUUCCUUUUCAAAUUUCUCAAUCUAUAUAAUAGGAUCAAUUAGUGUUUAAGUUAUUUUUAGAAAAAAUAUAAGCAUCUUCAUCUUUAUACAUGAACUCCUUUGCUCUUACAAGAUUAAUCAUAGACAUGAAUAAAACUUUUGGUAUUGUACCAAUGAGUUUGACGUAUUCUUGAUUCAAAUCCUUCCAAUAAUUCACUAUUAUGUUUCUUAUUUUUAUUUGUGCUUCUUCUUUUGUGAUAUCAUAUUCAUUCAUACAACAUUCGAUGCUAAAAGGUGCAUCUCCUCUUUGUUGUUCAUCCUACACCCCAAUAUAAAUAAAAACCAAAAAAUAGAUGACAAAAAUUAGAUACUUUAUAUAUAUAUAGAGAGAGGGAGAGAUAUUAAAUGGUGUUAGAUCAUACAUAUCCUAAUCCUUGAGAUACAAAUACUACCUACACAACAAUUUUUCUCCAACGUAUUAAUUAUAAAGAGAAAAUCAUAUAUUUAUUCAUAUAUUCAAGAUUAGCGCUUACACAAAUUAUGAUUAAGUUUAACUUUUAUAUGCUGACAAUGUUUUGAAUGGGCAAAUACAUUUAAGACCAAGUCAAAGAGAUUAACGAUCAACAAUCUUAGUAACUAUUCCUAGCAAGUCCAUUUGGUAAUUUAAGAAAUAGAUGAAAGUCAUAAAGGACUUUCUAAACUUUUUUUUUUUUGGUUGUUGUUGUUGUUGUUGUUGUUGUUGUUAUUGUUGUUAUUUAUUUAUUUAUUUAUUUGUUUAUUUCUAUAGCAGCAGGACCUAGCUUUUUUUUUUAUUAAAAGAAAAAAAAUCACUAGCAGGAAUCGAACCCGCGUAGUAGGCUGAAGGAAGCGCCCAAUACGUAACACCAUUGAGCUAUCUAAGUGCCUUAUUUCAUGUGGUUCUACAUUAAUAUACGUACAUAAACAUAAAUUUUCUACCUUAUAUAUACAACGUAAUUUUUUACUGAGGGAGUUCAGGUGAACCCCAUGGCAAUCACGUAGGUCCGCCCCUGCGUUAUUUAAUAACGUUUUGAUAACGUUAAUUUAAUACUAAUAUUUUAAUAACGUUAAUUUAAUAUACUACUGCUAUCCUUAAUAACGUUAAUUUAAUAACGUUUUAUUAAAACUAUAAUUUUUUUAAUUAUUAGUAUAGUUUCAUCUUUAAUUUAAUAUUUAAAUAAAUUAUAUUUAGAUAUAUUAUAUAACAUAACUUCGCCCUUUGCUUUAUAAUAUAUAUAUAUACCCGCGCGAUUUUUUCGUAUGAGGCUGACCCAUCUAAUUAAUAAAUCUUUAAUAUUGUUCUUUUUCUGCAAUGAAAAAAGAAAUUAGAUCCCAUUUUCAUGUUUGAGCUAAAAAUAAUGAAAAAAUAAUAUUGAAAAGUCAUUUAAAGGUCAUAUUUGUGCAGUUUGGAAUAGUUAAAGGUCAUAUUUAUGCACUGUCAAAGUUUAAGGUCAAAGUUAUCAUUUGGUAUCAAGUUUAGAGUUAUAUUUAUGUAUUAUGCCCUUAGAUUUUAAGUUGGACGCGCCCAGUUUUGUGUGUUGAACACGCAAAUUGCCACGUAGGAUCAGAGGUCAUAUUUGUGCAGUUUUGAAUAGUUAAAGGCCCUAUUUUUCACUGUCAAAGUUUAAGGUCAAAGUUAUAAUUUGGUGUCAAGUUUAGGGUCAUAUUUAUGUAUUAUGCCUUUAGAAAACCGAUUAAAACUUUAGCCUAAAAAAUAAAAUGGCAAAAUGAUCUUCUGGACCCCUGUACUAUGUCGGUUUUGUAAGUUGGACACUUCUAUUUACAUGUUUGUCAUCUGAACUCUUUAACCCAUUAAAAAGUAACAUUUUGCAUCCUUUGACCAUUGACUGAGCCCAUGUGGCAUUCAAAUGCUGACUAGGACAAAGAGAGUGUAGUCACACGCUUGGGGGUGCGAGUGGGGGUCAAUUUUUGAUCAAUUUUAUAUUAAAAUAUUUUUUCAAAAAAAAAGUGGCACUCAAUUUUUUUCAUUUUUUUUAUUUAAAAAUAUUUUAAAAAAUUAAAAAAUAAUAAAUUUAAAAAUAAAAAAUAAAAAAAAGGUCGCCCCCAACCCUCUCCCCUAAUCCAGCCACUCCCUCACUCCACCUAGCCCAGUCCCAGCACCUCCCGCCCAUCCCAGCCUUGUCGCAGCACCCCCACCCCACCCAAUAUUCCUAACCCUACCCAGCCUCAUCCCAGCACCCCCUACUUGAUACCAACAACAAUGUACAAAAAAUUUACUUUCCUUAGCAUCUCUACUUCACCAUUUUCCCUCAAAAAAAUUCAAACCCUCUAUUGAUGCCAACAACAAUGUACAAUCGCCCUCCCCGUCCCAGCCCUGUCGCAGCACCCCCACCCUACCCAGCCCCGUCCCAGUACCCCCAACUCCACCCAGCCUCAUCCCAGCACCCCUCAUUUGAGACCAGCAACAAUGUACAAAAAAUUCACUUUCCUUAGCAUCUCCACAUCACCAUUUUUCCUCAAAAAAAUUCAAACCCUCUAUUGAUGCUAACAACAAUGUACAAUCGCCCUGCAUUGUCCAUCUUUCACUUCUCCAUUCGAACUCAAACAAGCCAUUGCCUUCUUCAUCAAAAGCAACAAACGUCUCUCCCUCCUUCCCCUUCCUUGUAUUGCUUUCAUUUGCGCACUCACUCCUCACUUUUCCUUUGCACAACAAAUCUGGGCAAUCCCUGAAGAGGGUCUUUGCUUUUUUUUUUUUUUGUCAAUUCUUUAUUGUGGUUGAUAUUGUUGUUAUUGUUCAUUGUAAAAAAAAAAAAUUGAAUUACCCAAAUCACAAAAAUUUCAAAGAAAAAAUAAAAAUUGAAUUUUUACAUUGAAUUUCAAGUUUCUCAAAUUAUCCAAAUCACAAAAAAUUCAAAGAAAGCAUAAAAAUUGAGUCUUUGCGUUGAAUUUCAAAUUUCUUGAAUCACCCAAAUCACAAAAAUCUCCAAAAAUCUUUCUUUUCAUACUUCUUAAAUUUUUCGACCCUUACUUUUUAAUUUUUUCGUAGAGCAAGAAGAAUAACAAGAUGAAGAUGAUAAAGGAAAAGAAGAAUGAGAAGAGGAGGAAGAAGAAUAAGAAAGAAAAGAAGAAAGAAGAAAUGGAGAAAGAAAGAACGGGAAAGGCAGAAAAAGAAAGAAAAAGGGGAAGAGAGAGAAGGGGGGGAUUGUUUAUUUAUUUAUUUAUUUAUUUAUUAUUUUAAUAUUUAAUAUUUUUUAUAUAUAAAAAUGAUGUGGAAAAUAACGUGACAGAUGUGGCAGCUGACGUGGAGCGAGUGUAACACACUCACCGAAAAUAUUUUUUAAUGGGUUAAAGGGUCCAGAUGACAAACAUGUAAAUAUUUUUUAAUGGGUUAAAGGGUCCAGAAGGUCAUUUUGCCAAAUAAAAUACUAUAAUAAGUUAACUAACCUACAUAUAAACUAGUAGUAUAAAAAUAUUUACAUAACUAUGAUAUAAGUAAAUUAAAUCCAAAAGCUGUAUAUAUACACAUUAUAUACCUCAUGUGAUAAAAAGAUCAUUGAGUAAUCUUGCAAUGGCACAAGAAGCAGCAAGUAGCAAGUAUUGGAGGUUCAGUUGCUAACCAAAUCAAAUGCAUCUUUAGUUGCUAUCUCUCCCAUGCCUAAGCAGUAAGUAGUUGCAAUCAAUUGACAGCCACCUGAUGGAAUUCCAUUCUUUAUAUACUGUUCCGCUGUUGGCACUUCCCUCCCAUGAUACCAUUUUAUCUCUUGAAAGUAAAACCUCACCAGCUUUUUCAUUUUUUAAAAAUACUGGUAAAUAAUUAGUGAAACUUGCUAUAGUAAAGUUAUCCUAAAAAAUUUAGUGUGAUCAAGUAGUUAUAAAAGUCAGAAUGAGAUGAGCAUAAAUAGAACAAUACAUAGAACUUAAAUUGGUGAAAAUUCAUUUAACCAAUUACAACUUGUACGAAAUUACAAGUACAAUUUGACCAAUUUGGAUCGGGUUGGAAAAAUCGAUAUCAACCAAUGUAGAUUUUAGUGGACUAAAUCUAUCCCAAUUCCCAAUAUAUAUCUAUAAAGAUGGCAUUUGAUCACCUUGUGAUUGUUUUGAUUUCUGCAUGCAGCAAAUUUUUCAUUUAUCUAUGCAUUUAUAUAGCCAGCAUGGUAUGAGUUUUUCAUAAAAUAUUUCAAAAAAAAUACUCUUCAAAUUUAAAUUAAAUAUAUGUUUAGGAUCAUUCACUAAUAUUGUUCCAUCUAUUUGAAACUGUAUAGGCUGGAUACGAAAAAAUCUUUGGUAGAAAAUUCGAACUCCAAUAUGAGUUUUGGACAUAGGAUUGACAACCAAAAAAAUGUAUAGGUUUACAAAAAUAUUAAUGAUUUUUAAACAGGUGGUUAGUAAAAAGCAUUUUCAAACAAUUAUAAUAUUCAAGUUAACAACAUUAACGUGACACACAUUUGCAACACAUGUAGGAUAAACUAGUACUAGAUAAAUAUGUAACUCAUAUUAACAUUGAAUCAAGACCCAAUUUAUGGUUGACGUGACCUUAAAUCAAUUUAAGAAAAUUUUUGCUACUUUAUUUACAAGUACCUCUAUUAUGGAAUAGUUGACUAGAAAUGACUUGUGUUCAUUUGUCAAUUCUUUCUCGAUUUCAUUGUAAACAUCUAGAAGACCACUAAAUAAUCUUCAUAUAUGAUGGUAACUGUUUUGAAGUAUCAAUGUUUCAUUCAGUGAUGGAGGCAGGAUCUUUAUCAAGGGAUACUAUUAAUCUCCACAAAUAAGCGGAUUGGGUCACAAUAAGAGGUUCAAUACACACACAUGAAUCCCUUCUUAUAAGAAAAAUUUUCACUAUAAUGGUAAAAAUAGUUCAAAAUUUUUGGUUCUACUUCUAACAUACUUCGUCAAUAUAUUUAUAUUUUAAAAAACAAACCUGUCGAAGAAGUACUCCGCAAUCGCGUUGUCUGUGGAUAGUUCAACUCCCGUAGAGUAUCCAUAGAGCAGGACAAAAUCCAUGCCCUGUAGUUUGUAGCAGCAUACUACAAUAUCUAAAAUUAAGAAAGAGAUAGAAUUAGGAAAAAAUUAUCUUCUAAACAAGAAACAAAAUUACAAAAAUAUUGUCUUGGGUAUAUUUUGAAAAAAUAAAAUCAAGCAAAAUUCAAGUAAGACAUGAAUUAUUUUCAUCAAUUUGUGUUAACACAUGAUAUAUAAAUCAAAGAACAUAAACCACAACUCAUAAUCACUCAGAAAUUUCCUAAAAAUUAUAGAAAAACUCUUAAAAGUUUCAUUUGGGAAAUUUGACAAACACUUGGUGUGCAAUUCAAAUUCUUAUUAUUUUGAAUCUAAUUGAGUACUUAAUACUUCCACAAUCACUUACACACCAAAAUAAACACAACAUACAAAAGAUAAAUCAACUUCAAGCAUCAAAACAUGAAAGCAAUCGCAACCCAAUUUUUGACCCUAAACAAAAAAUUAAAGAGCAAUUUCAAUAAUUAAAGAAUAGAUUAGAGACAUACUUGAAGAUUUAGUGUAAAUGAAGAUGAAGAACACUUUGAAAGUACUUUUUAAAUUGACUAGUUUAGUUGUACGCGCCUCGCGCGUGUAUUUCACUUUAAUGAGUUCAAACGUUACACUAAAUAAAAAAUUUAUUUGAAUAAUAAAGAUGAAUACAAUAAUUAAAUUAAACAUCUUUUGAGUAUGUAAAGAUAGAGAAUUUAUUUAAUUAAACCUAACCUUUACCGAAAAUGAUUCUCAAAAUUGAUCGAUAUUCAUCUACCACCUGUAGACUGUAAUAAAAUAAUACGAUAAUAGAGACAUUAAAUGAUACAAUUAAAUCUAACUUUUACACUAAAAUUUCCUCAAAACGUCUGACACUCAUCUACCACAUGCUAACUAUAAAAAAUAAUAUGAUAGUAAAGAUAUCAAAAUAAUAUAACUAUACCUAAUCUUUAUACAAUAAAAAUUCUCAAGUCGGAUAUAUUAAAGCAAUACAGUUAAACUUAACCAUCACCUAAAAAACUUCUUCAAAAUCGAUCGACAUUUAUCUACCACCUGCAAACUACAAAAAAAUAAUACGAUAAAAAAGAUAUCUAAAUAAUACAAUUACAUUUAAACUUUACAUAUAAAAACUUCUCAAACUCGAUCGAUAUUUGCCUACAACCUGUAAACUACCACAAAAUAAUAAACUAAUCGAGAUAUUAAGACAAUACAAUUAUUAUACAAACUAAUAAUAAAAACGUUUAUUAAAUUUAUUAUACAAAGUCUGAUGGCUUGUAUAUAUUUAUCCAUACAUUGAUAAAAAAAAAAAAAAGAUAAUAUUUUACAAAAUAAAAAAAUCAACUACCUAACAUCUGAGCAAUGCAAGUGAAUCAAUAGAUCACUUAAAAGACAAAGGAAGAACGCAUUCAUUCAUCCAAAAAGAAAAGGUUAGAGCAUACCAAUUCCAUAUAAACCUUAAUGUAUAUAGACCGGCAAUCAGAUCUAUAUUAUUAAAGAUUUGAUUUGGGGAAAAUGUAAAAAAAAAAAAAAAAAGGCUUGCAUAUGUGUUAUUAAAAGACCUAAGCAUAUUGUGUGCAUAAAUUAAUAUAAAUAAUUAUUCUCUAGAUCUCAAUAUUUAUAGAAGUAUUUUCUUAAUAGAGUUUUAUUUUAGGAGUAUUUUUUUAGUUGACCGAAAAUAUUAGUUAUUGAUUCUCCUUCCAUAUAUUUUAGAGUCUCAUAUAUUUUAGGAGUUUAGUGUGAUAAAAAAUAAUUAAAUAAUAAAUUGAAUAAAAUAGUGAAAAGACAAUUUUGUCUAAAGGAAAGUCUUUCAAUGAAGCAUAAAAAGUUCAACUCACUUUUCUAAGUCUUUACACUUUUAAUAUAUAAAAAUAAUUGGGUAUCGGGUAUUUCAAGAAUUGAAGGAAGGAGAGAGUGAAACAAUGUUGAAACUUGAUAGUGCUAAUUUUUAAUUUAAUUCAAUUUGACCCUUUUCUGAAAGUGGGGGAAACGACAUCAUUUGAUCUUUAAAAAUAAACUUAAUGUGGGAAACAAUAGGGUAUCGAACCCGCAACCAGGGGUUCCCACGCAUGCAAAGUUGCACCCCCUUUGCCAUUGAGCCAUUAUUUUUCUUAUGGGUUCAGUUUAAUAUAUAUACACAUAGAAAAAAAAACUGCACCAUAUAUGUACAGUGCAUUUUUUCGACAAAGGGGGUUCGAGUGAACCCCUGAAUGAACACCACGCAGCUCCGCCCCUGGUUCCACCUACAUAUAUCACAAACAUCAAAUUCACUCAAAUCAUAUUCUACUGGGUAAAAGUGUGAUAACAAAAAUGUAGUAAUUUGCCUGUCAAUUGCCCCAGUGAAGAGAGUAAGUUCAUCUAGUGUCCCAUAAAUAUCAUAUGUGUCAUUAAUAAUAGAAGUGAAAUACAAAACUUUUGUUAAUAUUUUCCUCGCAAUGUUGUACUGAGGCUCAAAGUAGAUACUUAAACUCCAGAAGUAUAGCUCAGCCAAUCUGUCUCUUACAUAGGGUAAUGUAUUCACUAUUUUCAAUUCUUUCCACCACCUACAAUAAAUCGAAUGUGUGUUUAGUAGGCACACUUAAUUGGACACUAUUUGAUUUAAAUUAAUAUAUUGCGAAAAAGAAUGCUUAAAUUUGAAGUUGGAACAGGAUAUAAAUUUGGGAGCAAAGGUUCUUCUUGAUCAAAGUCAAUUUUUAACAUUUCAGCGAAGGUUAAUUACCUUGUGAGAUCAGAUAGCUCCUUUCGAUGCAACCUUUGCACAAUGUUAAAGUCUAAUUUGGCCAAGUUUAGUAACACUUGAUUGCUUGAUUCAUGAUUUUCUUGGUAAAAUGAUAUGUAUUUCCUUAUUUCUAUCCUUACCACACCAUCUUUAAUUGAAAACUUCAGCACGUUACCGAUUUGUUGUGCAAGUUGGGAAUUGCUCAAUUUAGGCAAAAUUAGUUUCAAUUAAGUGAUGGUGAAAGUCAGUGCUUCAUCCAGAAUUUCUUCCUCAUGCACUCUGAAUUGUGCUGCCUCAUAUAAACUCAACAUUCCAUGCACAUCGUUAACCAAUUUUUUCUUGAAAUCUCCUUGGUCGACCUUGAACUUCCUAAAAGCAUCUGCUUCAAAUUUUGGACGAAUUAGACUGAUCAUAUUUUCAUUAACUAAUUUUGUCAUCUUUUAAUUUGAAUGAUACUUACCACGUGAUGUAUAAUAACCUUGUUGCCGAAGUAAUCGAAAGCAUAGAGCAAUACCAUGAAGGUCAUCACCAGCAACUUCACUAAUCCAUUCUUCAUAAUGAGUGUUCAUGUAACUCAAUGAUUCCUCAAUCUCACGUUCAAAAUGAUAAGCUACACCAAGACGUUGGAUUGUGUUGAUGAGAUCAAGCUUUUGCAAAGAUUUUGGAGGAGCCAUCACUAGCAUCUUUCUCACUUCUUCUUUUAGGUCUUCAUGUUGCUUCUCGUCCACCUCAUUAGCUCCCUAUUUGGAAUAUAUUUGUUACUCAAAUGGAUUAAUUCUAACAUAUAUAUAUAUAUAUAUAUAUAUAUAUAUAUGCGAUAUAAAAAUUAUUUAUUUAUUUACUGGGAGAUCAGCAUAUGCAAGAAAAUGGUCUCUCCAAACAAUAGGAUGAUGAUUGCCAAAGCGACGUGUAAUUUUAAUUCUAUCAGCCACAACAGUUUUUGUGCACAACUCCAUUUUUUAGCUUGAAGGAGUUACAAAAACUGUUUGACAAAGGAAAUGAACCAAGAUUUGAACAAACAUGAGUUAGUUUCAGCCAAUGGGGUAGCUACACAGAUCGAAGGAUGGUCAAUUUGAAGAUCAUUUAUCACAAGAUUAUACUUUGUACAGAAAAAUCAUACAACAUAUAUAGGUCAAGAAUUACUUUUUACGUAUAUGUACUAAAUCUUUAAAAUCGAAAAAAUUUCUAAUUUUGUCAUUGGGUCGGCAUGAUGCAACCCUCAAAAGCUCCAUUAAUAUUUUUUAGAUGAUCUAGAAAUCACCUAGCUAGGCUCCUAGAGAGUAUCCAUAUAUACUUUCUAUUAGUAACUUUUUAAGAAGAAAAUUAAUAGUACUCCACUUAAUAAGCUACUUCUCUGCAGAAUUAAACUGUUACGUAAAAUUAUGAUGAUCUCGAUAAAAAAAAAAAAAAAUUAAAAAUAAGGAAUACCUGAUAAUGAUCUUGGCCAAGUUGCAAAUUAAAAUUUUCUUCAAUUUAUCAAUACACUGAACCAUGAUGAGAACUCAAUUUCUAUUUAUAAUGUUUUAGAACAUGUGGAGAUAUUGAUGAUGAUGAUAGCUGUACAAAUUAACAAUAUUGUAGGGAUCCAUCCACAUAGUUAUAGGGUGGGCUGGUGGUGGAAUAAAAACGAUGAUUUAAAGCAAAUUUUAUCCUUCCUUAACGAAAGAGUUUGAAUUUUAGUCUCAGAACGAAAAAUCUUGCUAGAUAGUAUUUUACUCUUAAGUCUCAAAACAAAACUAGUCUAAAAAUUGAAUUAAUCCGACGCAAAUACUUAACACUAAUUGGAAAUAAAAUUGGAGCCCCAAAAUUUAGGAGCCAAUAAUUGAUGUAUAAUCAUAUGUCUUGAAAAAUAAUAUGGAGAAUAAGAUAAUUACUAUUUAAUAGCUUAAAAUGAUGUGUAAAUGUAUUUAUAUGAAAAAAAGAAUACAUUGACAUAAUGAAAGAGGGUCUAGCGAAAAAAAAAUCUCUUCUAUACAUGAGAUACAUAUAGCACCUUAUUUUUUUGCCUAAUAUUUAUUUUAAAAGAUUAGGUAAAUUCAAUUAAUUUUACUGCCAUCAAUUAGUUUCGCAGUGUACUUCUUGAAUUCUAAUUAAUGAAAUUCUUUAAUGUUAAGAAAUGUCUAACCACUUUAGGUUAGUCAAAAAGAAUCAAUAAAAUUUAUAGUAUUACUAGAUAUCUUUUAAUUGUUUAGACGUGAUCGGUAUAGAAUUUUAUUUAAAUAUAAAGGUCAUGUUAGACAAAAUAUAAUUAGGGUAGUUAUUAGUUACUACUAUUUUUAUUUUUAAUUUGCUUUUAACAUUUUGAAACUAAAUUCAAAUUUGACAGAGUUUAUAGUUGCCAGUUUUCUUAAAAUUCAAAUUUUAAAUAUUAUAAAGAUAAGUUUUAGUCCUAAUAUACUGCUAACUUCUAUCUAUUUUUAAAAUUUAAAACUUAUAGAAAUUCUUACACUUUUAGAUUAUCCUUUAAUCUUUAAAUGAGAUUGUAAUUAUACUUUUGAUGUAAACCAAUUUCAUAUAUACAAAAACAGUUACAACUUCUACGAUUUUUUAUGUCUUAUGUUGAUCACCUUUUACACUAUUUAUUUCAAAAUCUAACAGCAUCUAUGGCUACGUGGAAUAACCAAGGUUCUAAGAAAAUUCUCUUGUAUAUCAAAAUUAUGCAUAUUGUAAAUGCUUCAAGAAGAAAUCUAUCAUUGGAGUGCCUUAUUUCUCAAAGUUCUCAAAGUUUCAACUUUCGGGUAUGAAGACAACAGGUAUAUGUUGUUAAGAUUUUGCUUAAUUAUUAGUUCUUUCAAGUUUAUGUCUAAAAAUGUUCAGAUCGUACAGUUUAUAUGGCAGUGUACCUAUUUUUUAUAUUUUGUUAAGAUUUUGUAUUGAUAUUCUAUGAUAUCGUCUACUUAGUAAUGGCCAUAGCCGAAGAUGUAGACACGUCAAAUUUAUAUUGCAAUACCUUUACUAAUGUUUCUACCAUAAAUCUUUUAUAUUUUUGCUAUCUAAUGAACUUGACAUUGCAUUGAACAAGUUUUAUGUUGAAAACAAUGAUGUUAUGAGAGUCAAUGACGAAGUUAGAGAUUAUUUUUUAGAUAAAUGUAACAUGAUUUUGCUUACGACUUAUUGCCUAUACUAGAGUGAAAAAUAUACUUAAAUUUGUAUAUCAUGAUGGAGUUAUCAGAGGAUCAGAAGCAUAUGACCUUGAUACUUGGUAGCAUUAGAAAAUAGAAGAUUUGAUUGUUGGGUUCAAGUUGAAUGUGUGAAUGGUAAAUGGAGGGAAUUGGUGGAGGAAAAAAAAAGAGAUCACGCUUAAAAGGAAAGUGUUCUCAAAAAUGGCCGCAGGUCAGGCGCAAUUCAAGCACAGACUGGGCACAGGUGACGUGACUGUUCAGUAACAGUGUAAUUUUUCCAGAACCAAUGCUUUCUUUCCAAAGGGACACUUAAUGACUAUAAAUACCUGACUUAUUCCUCAGGUAGAUACAUAAUUUUUGAGAGCUGAAAAAUACUUCUUGUCUUCUAAAAACUCAUUGUGAUCAUCUCCCGUUGAGUGAGUUCGAAAAAUCCAAUAGUUUGAGGUACCGCUACUGUGGAAUUGUGAGUCAUUUUAUCCUGGGGAAAAAAAAUUUGUAACCUCAGAUACUUGAGGGGAAUUAAUUCCUUAAGGACACUCUGUGUAAUCGGAGGACUUGGCUCAAAUUCUACUUCAUCUCUUUUCUUUAAAAUAUUGAUUAACACACUUUUAUUGAAAGGUCAUUUUGAUCUUGUGUUGAAGGUGUUGAGAAUUCUAGUUGUUCUUGACAAGUUUGUUCUUGAACUUAGUUGAAGUUUAUGCGAAGCAACAUAUAGAUUGUAUACCAAAAACAACAAUCUUAAGGAAUUAAUCUUAAUUUGUAUUGUUUGAUUUCUGGAGAUUAAAGCUUUAUGCUUUCUACUCUGUUUGAAAUAAACAAGUGAUUUGAAGAAAUAAAAACCUCAUUAUAAGUUAAAAGUCAUUCGAUUAACGUUUGGAAGACAUAAAAACUUCAUCGUUAAACUAGAAACUAUUUUUUGUAAGUUGCUUCAAACUUGUAAUUAGUAUAUUUUUAUACUAAAGUUGACUGUCUUUCUGUGAGGAAAAAUGACUACAAACGGUCAUGUGAAUUAUGAUGGGACAAGUGUGGCAGCAACAAAUAUUGCUACAACUAGUCGUACGAGUGCUCCGCAAGCAAUGGCACCAGGGGAGAAACCCAAAAAAUUCAUGGGUGUUGAUUUUAAAAGGUGGCAACAAAAGAUGUUCUUCUAUAUUACAACCUUAUGUCUUCAAAGAUUUACAUUUGAAGAAGCUCCAAAAUUGCCCGAAGAAACUUCGGAUUAGGAGCAAUUUAUUGUUAUGGAGGCGUGGAAAUAUUCUGAUUUCCUAUGCAGGAAUUACAUUCUAAGUGGCCUCCAAGAUGACCUAUACAAUGUGUAUAGUGGAAUGAAGACGUCAAAAGAGUUGUGGAGUGCGCUGGAAAGAAAAUACAAGACUGAAGAUAUUGGAACCAAGAAGUUCUUUGUUACAAGAUUCCUUGAGUAUAAAAUGAUUGACAACAAGUCUGUUAUAUCUCAAGUACAGGAACUGCAAGUUAUCAUCCACAAUCUCCUUGCGAAAGGUUUGGUUGCCACUUAUGUGAAAGGACUUCAAGAACUACUUGAAACAUAAACGAAAAGAGAUGACAAACAAAGAUCCCAUGGUAAGGCUGCAUUGAAGAAGACAACAAAUUUGCAGAAAGGAGGUCGAAAAGAAAUUCUGCAAUGAGUGGAGCAAACAUUGUAGAAGACGAUCACAACAACUCAAAAAAACAAAAACAAGUUGGACUAUAAAGCAAUCAACCUAAGAAGAAAUUUAAGGAAAAAUACUUUAACUAUGGAAAGAUUGGCCACAAGUCAACAGAUUAUCGUGACCCAAAAACAGGUAAAAAGAAAGACCAAACAAAUAUGGCUAAAUCCAAGAACGAAAUGGAUAAUUUGUGUGUCAUGCUGUCUGAAUGUAACUUGGUGGGAAAUCCUCGAUAAUGGUGGAUAGAUUUCGAUGCCACCCGCCAUAUUUGUGCAAAUAAAGAGUUGUUUGCUGCAUUUGCUCUGGUUUAAGGUGAAGAGAAAAUCUAUAUGGCAAACUCCACAACUACAAAAGUUGAAGGAGCAUAAAAAAUCUGCCUGAAAAUGACAUCAGGUAAAGUGUUGACACUUAACAAUGUCCUGUAUGUAGGGGUGUUCAUGGGUCGAUUUGGAUCGAUUAGUGGUUAAAACUAUAACCAAAACUAAUUUAGUCAGUUUUUGAAUUUCUAAAAACAAACCAAAUGACAAAAAGAAAAUAACCGUCGAUUUGGUUUGAUUGUUUGAUUUUUUCGGUUAUUGACUAGCCUACUUCAAUCAUCUCUAGAAUAAACUCCAUCUUUUAACCUAUAGAAAAGAGUAUCACAUUGAACACUUUCUCAUGAAAUAUUUGUACAGUGAUAGACAAAUGACACUAUAAACUCUUAAAAAUCAGAACAAACACAUUAAACAAAACUGACAUUGAGAUGAAAAACACCAGCUUUGUAUUGUAGGAACUAAGAUUAUCCAACAACAUACAAAUACAUACAUUUACAUUGUAAAACAGAGCAUUGUAUUUUGUUGCAGUGUACUGCAAGAAGAGACAGAGUUGGGCAAAUUUGAGUUAUCUGUUUACUUUAAAGACUAGCUAAGUGAGCUAAUCGUAUAGGAAAACAAUUGAAUAAACAAAGAGACAUAAAACUACCAUUUGAACUUGGGACCAUGGUAACUCGUAUUGUGAAAGUUGAAGUAGAAAAAGUGAGGUAGGGACCGUAGGGAUAACUUAUUGAGUAAUAGUAGGUAGAGUUGCCAAAUUUUGAGUACAAUAAAUUAAAAUAUCAAACGUGUGUGGAAUCAAAGUAUGCUAAACAUCUGUAUAAGUCCGUUGAAAGGAAUUCCAAUCCUUUGGACUUAUUAUACAUUGACAUUUGUGAUAUGAAGUCAACACCAUCUUGUGGUGGAAAAAAGCAUUUUAUAGCUUUUAUUGUCGAUUGCACGAGGUAUUGUUAUGUCUAUUUUCUAAACAGUAAGGAUGAAGCAAUAGAUGCGUUUAGGCAAUAUAAAACAGAAGUUGAAAAUCAGUUAGAGAAAAAGAUCAAAACGAUAAGAAGUGAUAAGGGUGGAGAAUAUGAAUAUCCCUUUGCAGAAAUAUGUGUAGAGAAUGAAAUUGUCCAUCAAACUACGGCCCCGUAUUCACCUCAAUCUAAUGGAAUUGCGGAAAGAAAAAAUUAAAUCUUAAAAAAAAAUGAUGAAUGUCUUACUUAUAAGUUCAGGUUUAUCGCAAAACUUGUGGGGGUAAGCUAUCCUUACAGCUAACCGAAUACUCAAUAGAGUGCCCCAUAGUAAAACACAAUUAAUUUCAUUUGAAAAAUGAAAAGAAAGGAAACCCAACUUGAAAUAUUUCAAAGUAUGGGGGUAUCUAGUGAAAGUCCAAGUUCCUAUGCCUAAAAGGGUAAAAAUAAGACCUAAGACAGUGGAAUGUAUGUUCAUAGGAUAUGCUAAAAGUAGUAAAGCAUGUCAGUUUUUGGUUAAUAAAUCCGAACAUCCGGAUAUAAAUAAAAUAUGGUAAUUAAAUCAGAUAAUGUUGAGUUCUUUGAACACAUUUAUCCGUAUAAAACUAGACAUGAACAAUCUAGUGGAGAGUCUAAAGGACCUCGAGAUGAACCAAGUAAGGAUAUACAUAAUGAUGAGAAUUCAAGACGUAGUACACGUCAAAAAAUGUUAACUUCGUUUGGAUCAAAUUUUAUAAUAUUUCUCUUAGAAAAUGAGCCUCAAAUAUUUAAAGAAGUGAUGAUGUCUUUAGAAUUAUCCUUUUGAAAAGAGGCAAUCAAUAGUGAGAUUGAUUCAAUCUUGAGCAACCAUACGUGGGAGUUGGUUGAUCUUCCUCCAAGAAAUAAACCUUUAGGUUCUAAAUGGAUCUUCAAAAGGAAAAUAAAAGUGGAUGGUAUUAAUGACAAAUACAAGGCAGGACUGGUCUUGAUUACUUUGAUACAUACUCGCCUGUACCAAGGCUAACGUCAAUUCGAAUGCUAAUUGCCUUGGCGACGGUAUAUAGUCUUGAAAUUCAUCAAAUGAACAUGAAAACAACAUUCCUAAAUGGAGAAUUGGAGGAAGAAAUUUACAUGAAAUAACCCGAGGAUUUUGUGGUUCCUGGUAAAGAAAAUAAGGUGUGCAAAAUAGUUAAGUCACUUUAUGGACUAAAACAAGCACCUAGACAGUGUCAUGCAAAGUUUGACCAAAUCAUGUUGGUAAACGGGUUCAAGAUAAAUGAACUCGAUAAAUGUGUUUAUCUUAAACACUCUAAAUCACAAGGUCAUUGUUUGUUAGUAUGUGGAUGAUAGGUUGAUCAUCAGCAGAGACAUUUCAGACAUAAAUGCUAUGAAACGAAUGCUUAAGAGCAAGUUUGAUAUGUAAGACCUUGAAGUUGUGGAUGUGAUCUUAAAAAUAAGAAUCCAUAUAUCUCCACAAAGGUUAGCAUUGUCACAGUCUCAUUACAUCAAAAAAGUACUUGACAAGUUCAAGUAUUUGGAAUUUGGUAUUGCCAAGACUUCAUUGGACGUGAGCUUUUCACUUCAAAAGAAUGAAGGUGAAAGUGACUUACAGUUGGAAUACGCAAGAGUGUUGGGACAUUUAAUACAUAUAAUAAAUUAUACACAACUAGACAUAACAUGUGCUAUUAGUAAGUUAAGUCGAUACAUGAGUAAUCCAAAUAAAACUCAUUGGAUGGCAAUGAAAAGAGUUUUUGGGGUAUCUUAAAUACACUCAAGACUAUGCUUUGCAUUAUAAUAAAUAUCCUGUGAUACUUGAAAGAUAUAGUGAUGCAAAUUGGAUCACCAGAAUAAAUGAAGUAAAAUCCAUGAGUGGACAUGUAUUUACUAUAGGUGGAGGAGCGGUCUAUUGAAAAUCAUCCAAACAGACAUGUAUUGCUUGCUCCAAGUGAAAUCUGAGUUUAUCGCAUUAAAUAAGGCCGGUGAAGAAGUUGAAUGGCUCAGAAAUUUCUUGGAAGAUAUUCCUUAUUGGCCCAAAUCAUUAACACCAGUAUGUAUUGUGAUAGUCAAGCGGCAAUAGGUAGGGCAGGGAGUAUGAUGUACAAUGAUAAAUCUCAUCAUAUAAGACGGAGACAUAAUACCGUUAGAGAACUUCUCUCUAGUGGAAUUAUUACUGUUGACUAUGUGAAGUCAAAAGAUAAUAUGUCGGAUCCACUUACAAAAGGCCUAUCUUGAGAGAGAGUUCAGAGAACAUCAAAGAGAAUGGAUUUACGGCCUAGGACAAGUCAGCAUGGCAGUAAAUCUACCUAGCAAACUGGAGAUCCCAAGAAGUAGGUUCAAAGAGAUCAAACAAAGUUAUGACUGGCAGUUCAACAUUGUCAAUAUACCCAAUCCAUUCUCAUGAUGUAGAUAAUGUUUUAGUAAACAAGGAUAAGGCUUAUGAUGUGAAGUUUUUUAAUUAUUAUCUAAAUUCGGCAGAUAUGAUCAAAUAGUUUGAGAAUGGUGAUAGAAAUACUAAGUUCUUCCACAGUAUUGUGAAAGGGAGGAGAAAAAUACUACAUUUGCAAAGGAUCCAAAACAAUGAGGGAAAUUGGUUAGAGGAUGAACAAGAUAUAGCAGCGAAAGCAGUUAAUGUUUAUCAGAUGCAGUUCUCCUAAGAAAGAGAUGCCACAUCUUUCUCACUUCUCAGACACAUUUCGAAAUCCAUCUGGGAUAAAGAUAAUGCAGAGCUUUGUAGACAACCUAAUUUAAAUGAAGUUAAAAGGGCUAUUUUUAAAUUAAAUGGGGAUAGUGCUAUUGGUCCAGAUGGUCUAACAGGAAGAUUCUAUCAAAGUUGCUGGGAGAUUGUAGGGAAUGAUAUUCUCAGGCUAGUACAUGAUUUUUUAGGGGUAAUACACUUCCUAAAUCCAUUACUCAUACUAAUUUGGUUCUUCUACCUAAGAAAGACCAGGUACAUGCUUUUAGAGAUUUGAGACCUAUUAGUUUGACCAACUUCAUUAACAAGAUAAUCUCUAGGAUUGUUCAUGACAGGAUAGAAGUCCUUCUUCCCAGAUUGAUUUUUUGUAAUCAAUCAGGCUUUGUGAAGGUAGAAGCAUCAUUAAAAAUGUUCUAUUGGCUCAAGAGAUUUUCACUGAUAUUAGUAAGAGGUUUAAACCUUCCAAUGUUGUCAUAAAGUUGGACAUGGCUAAAGCUUAUGACAGAGUAUCUUGUUUUUUUUUUUAUGAAAGUUCUAAGGAAAAUGGUUUUUUCUAGAAGUAUUUGUUAAUAUUAUUUGGAGGCUAAUUUCAAAUAACUGGUAUUCUAUCUUGGUUAAUGGUCAAUCUCAUGGUUUCUUUCAUUCUACCAGGGGAGUGAAGCAAGGGGAUCUUUUGUCUCCUGUUUUAUUCAUUCCAUCAGCAGAGGUUCUAAGCAAGGCCUUAAAUUCCUUAUUUGAAGAUACUCAAUUUGUAGGGUAAGGUUUACCCAAGUGGAGUGCUAAUUUAAAUCAUCUUGCUUUUGUGGAUGACUCUAUUACAUUUGCUUCAACUAAUAAGUAUUCAUUGGAGAAAAUUGAGUCAAUUUUGCAGGAGUAUGAGGUUCAAUCAAGGUAGAAGGUUAACAAGGAUAAGAGUUCUUAUUACCUACCUCAAAAUGCAACAUCUAAUGUGAGACAAUUGGUGGAAAAGUGCACAGGUUUUACAAGAGGUCACUUUCCUUUGAUAUACAUAGAGUGUCUCAUAACCCAUGCUAGAAAAAGAAAGAACAUUAUGCUGAUCUUAUCAAAAGGGUUAAGACAAAGUUACAAGCCUGGAAAGGAAAUCUGUUAUCAUAUGGAUGCAAAGAGGUGUUGAUCACAAUUGUUUUACAAAGUAUUACUAGACAUGUACUUUCGGCCAUAGUUCCCCCUAAGUGUGUUAUCAAGGAAUUGCAUAAAAUCUUUGCUAAAUUCUUUUGGAGUAACAAGGUCGCUGGAAGGAGAAAACAUUAGGCUGCUUGGGAUAAAGUUUGCUUGCCCAAAUAGAAAGGAAGAUUGGGUUUUAAAUCUUUUUUUGAUGUCUCACAAUCCAUGUAUGCUAAGAUAUGAUGGAAAUUUAAAAUAGAGAACACCUUAUGGGUUAUAUUUUUGUGGAACGAGUAUUGUAAGAAACAAUUACCUUCAGUGGUUCAGUGAAGGGAAGGUUCUCAACAGUGGAACUAUAUGCUACACAAUAGAAACUGCAUUGAAAAACACCUAUGGUGGGAACCUAAGGGAGGUUCAGUAACUAUUUAGUAUGAUAAUUUAACAAUGCUUGGUCCACUUUAUAAUCAUCAAUCAGAGGUGGUUUCUUGUCAUCUUUUGACAAAAAUUGGAGUGUUUAUGAAUGAAGCAGGCUGUGACUAUGAGGAAAUGCAAAAUCACAUACAUUCCCACAUUGUGGAUCAUGUUAGAAAUCAUAUGGAUCAUGUCAGGCAAUCUGAGAUGGGGGAUAAACCUUGGUGGACUAAGACAAGUUCUGAAAAAUUUUUAGUAAAGAGUGUAUGGGAAACCUUGAGAAAAAAGGAUGAAGUUGUAAAUUUUUUUAAGAAGAUCUGGGUGAAAGGACUUCCUUUUAAAAUUUCAUUCUUUGGGUGGAAAGUAUGGACUAUCAGGUCCCUGUUGUAGCAAUUUAGGCUAACGAGAACCCUAAUAUCUAUCAAUUUUAUUCGUAUUGUUCAGUACCAACUAGAGAGACCAUGGAACAUCUUUUUCUAAAUGGUGAAAUAGCUACUAAUGUUUGGAAUUAUGUUUCAAAUAUAGUUGGUAUUAUUGGUCCUCGGAUUUAAGUAAAACAGACCAUGAAAAAGUGAUGGGAUGCAUAUGGAAAUUCUAGACAAAAGGUGAUCUUUCAAGCUAUUCCUAAUAAUGUUUUAUGGUUUAUAUGGAAUAGGAGAAACACAGUAUUACAUGGAAGAUUAUAUUCUAUAUGUAAUGUGUUGCAUGAUAUUAUCACUACUCUUCAGAAGUUUAUCAAAUUGAAGUUUCAAUAUAAUGAGAUUCCUAGAACUUGGCCUUAUAUGGUAGCUUUGCUUGAUGGUUAUAGGCCAAGUUUUUAGUGCAAAUUUGUAAAAUCGUUACCACCACCAGCUGGUUGGUGGAAAUGUAACACAGAUAGGGCCUCAAGAGGUGAUCCAGGUGCUAGUUCUGGAGCUUUUUGUGUAAGAAAUAGUGAUGGUGAUUUAGUGGGUACAAAGGGUUUGAAGAUUGUUGAUUCAAAUAAUCUGGUGGCUGAGGCUAUGGCUUUAGUGCAAAUUAUUAAUGGAGUUUGGGAAUUCCCUUGGAGUGUGACAAUGGAGGUCAAGACCAUUAAAAGGCUUAUCGAGGUUAUGUCAGUAAGAGUACAACACUCCUUGAGGGAGGGAAAUACUCUUGCUGACUAUUUAUAUAACCUGGUUUUUGAUUUUGCAGGUAUAGUUGAAUACAGGAAUUUCAGGAAGUUCCAAUUAAAGGAAAAAGGAUUAUCAAUCUUGAUAAUCUAAGUUUACCAAAUAUGAGAAUCAGACACUCUAUUACAAAUUUCAUAUCUUAAAUAGUCAUAGUCUAUGGUACACUUUUGUGAUAUGGAUACUAAUGCUGAGUUUAAAAGAACGAACAUACUAAUGUACUUUGUGAAGUCUGAAUUAAUUUCGGUUGGUUACUAGACCAUGCACCUUGUGAGAGCUUUGAGGUGUUACAUAUGGUAUGAAACCAAGACUCACAAGUCAAUAGCAGGAGAUUUUUUAAUAAUUCGUUUAGUAUUUAUACACUUAUGUCAAGAUCUAACUAAUUCACUCUAGUUUUGAGGCUCUUCACUUAAAUGGUGGUAUUAAUCUAUGUGGGUUCAAUUCAUUAAAGAAAAGAGUGUAAAGACUAGGGUGUUAGUACAGAUUUGCAGAUUUCCAGUUGUACCUCUAUUUCCACUUGAAGAUUUUAGCUUGGUACUUUGACUAGCAUGAGUAGAUAAAUCCUAAUAGCUUGAAGCACCUCAAUCCAAUCUCAGAAUUUUUAAAAAUUAGAUAAUUUUUCGAGGAUUUAAAUGUCAAUGGUGGUAUCAAUCUUGUUUAGGGAUUCAACCCAUUGAAAUUUAGAUCUGAGAAAAAGAAUCUAUAUACCAUAACCACAAACCUAAAAGUUGUGUUUUAAGAGUCAAUUGAGGUGAUGAGGUUGAACAGGUUCAGUGAACAAAUCUGAUUUGUUUGAUUUCUCAGAUUGGAGGGCAUAGUUGAAGACGAAACACUUUGUAGCUCUUUUACAUAGCUCCGAUUCAUGAUGCAAAUUUGAGUUUUGAGCUUGGAUGUGUGAUACGAAAUUGAAAUACGAAAACUAAAGAUGAUACAAAAAAGUAAAUGUAAUUGAUAAGAUAGAUAAUUAGACACAAGAAAAGAAGUAACCAAGAACAAAAAAGUAUGUCAAACUCUAAUACCCUCAAUUACAAUCUAAUCAAAGACCUAAUUACUAGGUGACCAAGAGAGAGAUGAACGCCCUCUAAACCAACGUUUCUAAACAAAGUUCAACAAAAGUUGUCCAAUACUCUAACUCAAUGGAGAAGCAUUCAUCAAUGCAUCAAUAAUCAAGCAAAACAAAGAGAAUGAGCUAGCCUCAAAAGUAUUUACAGUUUAGGAUAAUUAUUAUAAUUUUAGGGCCCAAAAGUGACCCAAUUUCAAGAUAAGUCCAACUAGGGGAUGUUUUGAUCCGCUCUUGAAAUGCUAGAGCGGAUCAAAAACGGAUCCAAAGCGCCUUGGGCACAAGUCCUUUUCAAGGGGAUUUCUAGCCCCACUUUGCCUUCGCUUGCCUCCUCCAACGAUCCUUGGACCAAUGUGAGUGCGAUCAACAACAAAUAACACCCUUUUGAUUGUAAGGAGGCUUCUUCAAGUACCUCCCGCUUCAUGAACAAUCCUUGGAUCCUUUGAAGCUCCCGGGCUUAACUUCUGGUGAAUGGCUUGGAGCUAAUCCAGAUUGUAUCAUCCUCUCCAUCUUGAGAAGAUUUGGACCUCAAAUUCAAAGGGUGAUUAUCUUCUAUCAUGUCAAAGAGUGAAAUAUCACACACAUUAAAGGUAUUGUGUACUUGAUAUUCCAAAGGAAGGUCAAUCUUAUAGGCAUUGUUGUUUAUCCUUUCAAGAACUUGAAAUGGACCAUCACCUUGAGGAUCAACUCAGAUUUUCUUUGGGUUGGAAACCUAUUCUUUCGAAGGUGUACCCAUACCCAAUCACCUGGUUCAAGCACAAGCCGCUUUCUUUAUUUGUUUACUCUUUUGGCCACCUUGUGAUUUUCCUUCUCAAGGCAAAUUCUCACCUUCUCAUGCAACUUCUUCAUGGUUUCCUCCCUCUGAUAUCCAUCUAAUCUUAUCACAACAUCACUAGACAAAGGAGUGAGAUCUAAAGGGGCAAGGGGGUUGAAACCAUAAACACAUUCAAAGGGAGUCAUACCAAUAGCCGAAUGGAUAACACGAUUAUAAAAAAAUUCAACUAGAGGUAAGUGGUCUUCCCAAGAGGCCAUUUUUCCUUUAACUAAGGUUCGCAACAUAGAACCCAAGGUUCUACUUACCACCUUUAUUUUCCCAUCCAUUUGUGGGUGGCAUUAUGCUGAGAAAAGAAAUUUAGUGCUAAGCCUAGCCCACAACGACCUCCAAAAGUGACUAAGGAACUUAGAGCCCCUAUCACUAACAAUGGUCCGAGGAAUUUCGUGUAUUUUGACAACAUGCUCAACAAACAAAGAAGCCAUAUUAUAAGCAUCAUCAAUUUUAUAGCAUGAAAUGAAAUGGGCCAUUUUUGAAAACCUAUCAACCACAAUAAAAAUGCAAUAUCUACCCAUCCUUGUCCUAGGUAAUCCCAAAACAAAAUCCAUAGAGAUGUCAAGCCACGGGAGUUGAGGAGUGGGUAGUGGGGUUUAUAAUCUUUGAGGGAGAAGGAGGGAUUUCGUACUUCUACAAUCCAUGCAUUGGCCAUAAAUUCUAGCAACAUCUUGAUGCAUCUUGGGCCAAUAGAAUUGUUCCUCUAGGAUUUCAAGGGCUUUGUCAAUUCCAAAGUGACCUAUCAUACCCCCAUCGUAUGCCUCUCUUACAAAUAAUUCUCUCCCUGAGCUAGAGAGCACACACAACCUUCUUCCUUUCAACAAGAAACCAUCAAAAUUGGGGUAGGGUAUAUAAACACUAUCCCUCUCCCACCGUUCCCUACCCCAUGUCUCACAAUCUUGAUAGAUUUGAGAAAAUUUGGGGUCCUCGGGGUAAAUUGUCUUUAAACUUUCAAAUCCCAUCAAUUUAUAAGACGAUGUAGAUAUAAGCACAUGUUUUCUAGACAACCGUCGACUACCACAUUUUUCUUUCCCUUUUUGUAAUGAAUUACAUAAGAAAAAGUCUUUAGGAAAGCAAUCCACUUGGCAUGUAUUUUAUAGAUUUUAUCUUAGGCCCGGAGAUAUUUCAAGGAUUUAUGAUCGAUUCGAAUCACAAACUCCUUGGGCCAUAAAUAAUGUUGCCAAUUACGCAAGGAUCUAAUCAAGGCAUAUAACUCUAGAUCAUAGGUGGAAUAAUUUAGAGCUGCACACUUGAGCUUUUCACUAAAAUAGGCAAUAGGUUUAUGAUAUUGCAUUAAGACGGCACCUAUUCCUACCUUACUUGCAUCACAUUCAAUCUCAAACAUCUUAUCAAAAUUGGGUAAUUGCAAUAAGGGGGCGGAGCUAAGAAUAGCCUUCAAAGCUUCAAAUGCAUUGGCUUAAUCAUCACCCUAUUUAAAAGGUUUAUACUUAUGGAUUACCUAGGUCAAGGGAGUGGCGAUGGUACUAAAUUCUUUGACAAAUCGCCUAUAAGAACUAUCCAACCCAUGGAAGCUUUUUACUUCACCAAUAGAUUAUGGAGUUGGCCAAUUCUUGUUGGAGUCUAUCUUAGAUUCAUAUACCUCAAAUCCUCUUGGGAUCACAACAAAUCCCAAGAAAAUAACUUUAUUCACACCAAAAGAACAUUUUUCAAGAUUAGCAUACAACUUCUCUUUUCAAAGAACUUCAAACACACCAUGCAAAUGUAAGACAUGUUCUUCAAGGGAUUUUCUAUAAAAUAGAACAUCAUCAAAGUAUACCACAAUAAACUUCCCUAUGAAUGAUUUUAUCACAUGUUUCAUCAACCGAAUAAAGGUACUAGAAGCAUUGGUGAGGCCAAAAGGCAUGACCAACCAUUUAUAUAGACCAAACUUGGUCUUGAAUACGGUCUUCCACUUAUCACCCGAUUGCAUCCGAAUUUGGUGGUACCCACUCCUAAGAUCUAUCUUAUAAAACACACAAGAACCAUUCAUAUCAUCAAGCAUAUCACCUAAACGGGAAAUUGGAUGGCAAUACUUUACCAUUAUUUUAUUAAUGGCUUGCAAUCAACGCACAUGCACCAUGUUCCAUCUCUUUUUGGCACUAGCAACACCAGAACUGCACAUGGACUCAUGUUUUCUUUGAUGUAUCCCUUGUUGAGAAGUUUCUCAACUUGCCUUUGGAGCUCUUUUGUGUCCUUUGGAUUACUUCGAUAGGCUGGUUUGUUGGGUAAUUGAGAACCCAGCACAAAAUCAAUUUGAUGCUCAAUUCCCUAAAGUGGGGGUAAUUCUUGGGGAAGCUCCUUUGGGAACACAUCUCCAUAAUCCUGCAAAACAAGAGAACUAGAAUGAGGGAUAAAAGAAGUAGAGUGGUUAGCAUGAAAAUCAUGGGCUAGGAGGAUCAUGGGUGUUUUGUCAUCAUGAUCUUUGAAAAGAUCUUUGUUCCUAGCCAACAUCACCAAAGGACUCUCCCCUUUCAACCUCCUCUUCUCCUCUUAUUCAUCCUACUCCUCAAUUUGGUCAUCCUUCUCACCUUGUUUCUUACCUUUCUCUUUUAAUUCUCUUAAUUUUUGGUGACCCUCAUUUAAUUUAGAUGGCGAAAGAGUAUGGAGAGUGAAUUUUCGACCAUUAAACUCAAAAGAGUACCGAUUAGUCUUCCCAUUAUGCUUUCUUGAACGAUCAUAUUGGCAUAGUCUCCCAAGCAAGAGAUGACAAAAUUGCAUAGGUAUCACAUCAUAAUGCACCUUAUCAUGAUAAUUCUCGACUUUGAACCGAAUCACCACUUGCCUAGUCACCUUCAACUCACCAUAAUCAUUUAACCAUUGAAGCUUGUAUGGGGUGGCAUUUUCGGUUGUGGGCAACAUUAAGAAAUCAACCAAAGUUGCACUAGCCACAUUUGCACAACUUUCGCUAUCAAUGAUCAAAGAGCAUACGUUUUCCUUUAUAAGACAUUGAGUAUGGAAUAGAUUCUCCCUUUGACUAAGGUCAUCUAUAUCCUUACUAAUCAUUGCACGCUCCACAAUAAAAUUUGGCACCUCAUACUCUCCAUCUUGAGGCCAAGCAUCUUCAUUAUCCUCCUCUACUUACUCAUUUUCUUGGGAUCCUUCUCCAUCUUAGGCUUUUUUCAUUAUUCUCAUCUUCCAAUCCCACCUCUUCUCCAAGGUAAUAUAAUUUUCCUUCCUUAAGGAUUAUAUUUCUCCAGUUGUACAUUUACUUGCCUUAUGUCCCCACCCUUGGCAUUUAAAACAUUGAAAAACUUUUGGAUUGAAAAUAGAAUAUUUGUUACCUUCAUUCCUUGGCGGGUACUUUGGAGUGGUCUUCUCUACGGGCCUCUUGUCAUUGGACUUGUAGCCCUUGUUCUUGUUCCAUCCCGAUAGCGAUUGGGCUACCUCUUUAUUCUUACUCCAAGUAUUAGUAGAUGAGUACUCUUUAAGUUUGUAAGUUGCCCUUUCUUUGAUAUCCCUCUCAAUCUCCAAGGCCGCUUAGAAGAUUUCUUCUAUGGUCUCAAACUUGUAGAUAGUCAUGCAUGAGGAGAUAUCUUUGUUCAAUCCAACCUUGAAGCGUAUGAUGUCAUGAUUCACGUCCUCUCGAUGGUCGAGCUUUAAGAUCAAUUAUUGGAAUUCAUCAUAAUAAGCCAUAACACUCUUUCUACCUUGCCUCAAGUUGUACAAAUUGGCAAGUAGCUCAUGUCUAUACCUUUCCAAAACAUACCUUUGUCUCAUGAAUACCUUCAACGCAUCCUAUGGAGGGGGUUGUCCUUCAUUUAACACAUUUCCAAAUCUCUUGACAUAAUCCCACCACGUAUUGGCAUCCCCUUCAAAAUGGGCUAUGGCAUAGCAACUCUUCUUCUCUUCGGUGAUAUCAUUAACUUGGAAGAUCCUUUCACAAAAGGACUCUUAUGAGAGAUAAGCUUCGGGAUCACUUUUGCCUUUGAAAGUUGGAAGACUAACCUUGAUUGAAUUUAUACUCACAUCUCGAUCCCUAUUACCUUGUUGGUUCCAUUGAUCAUAACCUUGAGGUCGGUUUCCUAAGUUUCCUCUAUGAUUAGGUGCAGGACCAACUCUUUCUCCUCGAUCUCUAUAACCUCGUUGAUCCAUUGGUCUACUUCUUAUUUCCUAUACCAAUAUGUAGACUUCAUCGAAUGCUUCGAACUUCGCUUAUUGUUCUUCCCUAUAUUCCUCAUCUAAUUGGAUGGGUUGGUUUUGGUUAAGGGGUGCUUGGAAUGGGGGAAUUUGGUUAAGUGGAGGUUGGGGUAUUCGGGUUUGAGAUUUAUCAUGUUGUGUUUGGUUGAAUUGAGGUUGGAAUGGUCAAACGGAAUUUUGGUUUUGUGUAUAUGUAGUGGCUUGAGGAACGGAAUCAUGUGCUUGUAUUGGUGGAUUGAUCAUUUGGUGACGGUUUUUUGAGGAAAUAUGAAUCGAAGGAUUUGGAGCAUGCUCACUAGUUGAAGCAUGAAAGUGUUGAGGUGUGUAUAGGGAUGUGUUUUGUUGACCUUCCACAAUAUCCAUUCUUCCACCAAUGAGGGAUACACUCCCUUCAAGAGAAUCCACCUUAAGAUCAAGUGAAUUUAUCUUGGCGUCCAUAGAAUCAAUUUUACGAUUGAGAGUUUCAAUGGCCGCUAAAGAUAGCAUUUGUUGAGUGGUUAUCCAUGGUUUGUGGAGUUUCGCCUUCCGUAGUCAUUGUACCUAUGAAUAAAGACACUCAAAAAUAACAAAAACUUUAGCGUUAGAUAAAUUAACCUCACAAAAUCUUCAUACCUUUGUUUACCUCACACUUAGAUCACAAAUGUUGAAAGAUGGUUUAUACUUCGUAUGGUAAUCGAGGUGUCAAGUUCUACUCUUGAUCGGAUUGGAUUCCUAUUUGGUGGACUCAAAUAGAGAUGUAAGGACUUGGAUUAAGAAUUAACAAUGAUAAUUAAAGAGAAAAGCUUGAAAGAAAUGGGACAAUGAAUGCAUUCGGACUCAAGAACUAAUUAUCCAACUUAGUAGGUGGAUUACUAGUUGUUGAUAGUUUUAAGAAUCAAGAGUUGAAUUUAUGAAUCAAGAAAUAAAAAUAAGGAAUCAAACCUGAGUAAAUUGGAGUUUAGAAGUGUUAGAAUGCAUUUGUAACUUGAAUUGGAAAUUGGUAAGGCUUGACAUACGUUUGGGAGGUGUCACACACCUUGGGCGCACCUCUAGAGCACUUCCAGCUCAGGUGGGGAAGGCUGCUCACUAUUUUGAGAUGUGGCAGCAGUUCCAACGCACCUCCAGUUUAGGUGGGAUGUAGGAGAGCCCCUAGACACUGACUUGAGGUGUGGCAGCAGGCUGGGAGCAGCUGCAGUACACCUUGGGCGCAGGUCAAGGGCAAGUUGGCCGCCCCUUGCUUGUUCCAAGGCCAAAAAUGCCCUUCUUGAUGCCCUUUGUGUAAUUUUCUCUUGGAAUAUUCUUGAAAGCUUUUUAGAUGCUCAAAAAAAAACAUACUUUAACUCUUUUUCUUCCUUCUUUUUGGAUCAAACGCCUUCUUUUGGAUGAAUUUUCAAUAUGAAUAUAACAAUAUCCUUAAGAACACACCAAGAACACCAAGAACAUCAAUCUUUCCAACUUUUUCUCUAGAGCUUGGAAUGAGUUGAAAUUUUGAACGUAGGUAAUUCUUAGCCUUCUAAACUCAUUCCAAACAUCAAUUUCUUCAAAUUAUUCACCAAAAUCUUCAGAUUUUCAAUCCACUUCAAAUGUCUUCAACCCAAGCUUCCAACAAGGAUAGAACUCUCAAAUAAGCUCCGAUUUGACUCAAAUUUGAUUUAUAGACUCAUAUAGUGUUAGGGAACGCAAAUCUAACACUAGAAAUACAAGAAAACACAAAAAUCAAAAACUCAAAAUAUGACCUAAGACCUAAAACGUGAAUAGUAAUUUUUUUGUGAUUUUUGAUUUUCUAGGACGACUAUACCCAAGAUUGACUUUGUAAGAACAAAAUUAAACUCGGCUCUGAUACCAAAUGAUACAAAAUUGAACUAUGAAAACUAAAGACGAUAUGAAAAAGUAAAUAUAAUCGAUAAGAUAGAUAAUUAGAAACAAAAAAAGAAGUAACCAAGAACAAAAGAGUAUGUCAAACUCUAAUACCCUCACUUACAAUCUAAUCGAACACCUAAUUCCUACGGUGACCAAGAGGGAGAUGAACACUCUCUAAACCAACGUUUCUAAACCAAUGUUCAACAAAAGUUUACCAACACUCUCACUCAAUGGAGAAGCAUUCAUAAAUUCAUCAAUAAUCAAGCAAAACUAAAAGAAUGAGCUAGCCUUAAAAGUAUUUAUAGUUUAGGCUAAUUAUUAUAAUUUUAGGGUCCAAAAGUGACCCAAUUGCAAGAUAAGUUCCACUAGGUGCUGUUUUGAUCUGCUCUUGAAACACUAGAGCAAAUCAAAAGCGGAUUCAAAGCGCCUUGGGCGCAAGUCCUUUCCAAGGGGCUUUCUAGCCCCAUUUUGCCUUUGCUUGCCUCCUCCAACGAUCCUUGAACCAAUUUGAGUGCGAUCAUUAACAAAUAACACCCUCUUGAUGGUAAGGAGGCUUCGUCAAGUAGCUCCCACUUCUUGAACAAUCCUUGGAUCCUUUGAAGCUUCCAGGCUUGACUUUUAGUGAAUGGCUUAGAGCUAAUCCGGAUUGUAUCAAUGUGUUUCUCCGACAAUAGAGUUUUGAGCUUGGAUGUGUCCGUCUGUUAGAAUUAUUUGCACAUAUAUUUCAUCUGUUAGAAUUAUUUGCAGAUAUCUUUACUUUUCUAAUUAAUUAAUUAGGUGCACUUAGUUCCUUUUCCUUUGCAUUGUUUCUAUUUUCCCUUGGACUUUUGGCACUCUAGGUCACUUGCAUGUACAUUUGUUUUGAUUAAUAAAGUGGCCCAUUAGGUCAUUUAUUAAAAGAAAAAGUUUAGUCUAUAGGAUUGAACGUUUAGAAAUCACUUAUGUGAGAGUGAAGUGGAAGCCGCUUCAAGGAGAAUGAUAGUAAAGGACUAUUCUCUACGCUCUCCUGAAAUCAAGACGUGUUCAUGGCUAAAACGAACCAAAAUGUGAGAACCAUAAACGGUAAAAGGCUAGUUGUGUGACACGUGUCAUCUAGUGUACAUUAAAGCUUGAUGGUUCAAAGAUAUCAAAUCUACCGAUUGACCAAGUGCAUCCGAUGCAUGUUCACUACGGAAAGUUCAAAGGAAAACCCACUUAUCCAGAUACAAUUAGUCUUUGCUAGAUUGAUCACAUGUUUGUCCGUAAAUUCUUCAUAACAUAGUCAUUCCCCAUUUAUGUGGGAGAUUGUUAGGUUCAAGUUGAAUAUGUGAAUGGUAAAUGGAGGGAAUUGGUGGAGGAAAAAAAAUGAGAUCACACUAAAAAAGGAAAGUAUACUAAAAAAAUAAGAAAAGUCUACUAAUUCUCCCACAUUGGUGGGAUAAAAAAACUUUCCUGUGUUCUUAUUAAGAAACGCAUCUCCACAUGGAUAGUGAGGCAAGAACAAAGAGGUGUCUUGCAUCGCCGUCGUCAUCGCUCGCUCGACUCGGCUUUGGCUUCGAAUUUUUUAAAUGAUCGAUGAGAUUAAUAUUUUAGAUAAAUUUUAUUUAAAACUUGUAAAACAAGUGAUGUUUUAAUCUGAAAAUUCAAUGAAAUAAUUUUUUCCAUAUGCGUGCGCGUUUCAGAUGUCAUGCAAACGCAUGUGCAACGCAUCUCAAAAGGAAUGCGACCUUUAGAGAAAAAGAUAUACUGUUUCGGAAAAAGGGUGAUUUGAGAAUGCAGGUCAGGCGCAGACCUAGCGCAGGCUGGCUCUGGUCAGGCGCAGAAGCCACUAGAAUAGGCGAAACAUCACCUGUGGCCACACGUCAGGCGCAGUUCCAGCACAAAUUGAGCGAGGGUGACGUGACUGUUUAGUAACAGUGCAAUUUUUCUAGAAUCAAUGCUUCCUUUCCGAAGGGACACCUAAUGGCUAUAAAUACCUGACUUAUUCCUCAGGUAGAUACAUAAUUUUUGAGAGCUGAAAAACACUUCUUGUCUUCUAAAAACUCAUUGUGAUCAUCUGCCGUUGAGUGAGUUCGAAGGAUUCGAUAGUUGAGGUACCGCUACUAUCGGAUUGUGAGCCAUUUUAUUCUGAGAGAAAAAAUUCCGUAACCUCAGGUACUUGAGGGGAAUUAAUUCCUUAAGGACACUCCGUGUAAUCGGAGGACUAGGCUCAAAUUCUGCUUCAUCUCUUUUCUUUAAGAUAUUGAUUAACACACUUCUAUUGAAAGGUCAUUUUGAUCUUGUGUUGAAGGUGUUGACACUUCUAGUUGUUCUUGACAAGUUUGUUCUUGAACUUAGUUUAAGUUUAUGCGAAGCAACAUAUAGAUUGUGUACCCAAAACAACAUUUGUAUCAUCCAAAAUUUUGAAUUCUUACAACAAGAAGGUAUGGUCGAAAAAAUUGAUAGGUAAAAGUUUCAUGGUCAUAUGGAACGUAUAGAUGUUUGCUUUUCAAAUGGGAAACAUGAUCUAUUGUUAGGGUACUGCUCAAGUAAAUAGGUAACAAUUAAUUAGUAUAUUGUUAUUUUAUCAAUUUAUCUAUAUUAUUCAUUACUCAUUAUCUGCUAUAUCAAUUUUCAUCGUCAUGCACACAUCAAAUGGAUUCAGUUUUUAAUUAAAAAAAUAAAACGGAAUAUGCUUUGCAUGGAAUGACAUGAGAUAAGAAAAUAUAAUUUUUUUCCUUUGAAUGGUUAGUUAUAGCCGUGUAUGUAAGUGAUGUUUAAAUGCCACAAUAGCUAGCAACAUACUACUAUUUUGAUUAUAUUAUGAGUGUCUAUCAUAAACAACCUCUCAAUCUCUAUGAGGUAGGGGUAAGGUUUGCAUGUACUAUAUCCUUUCUAGAUUCAACUUAUGAAAUUACACUAGGUAUGUUGUUAUUGUUGAGUAGCAUUCAAAAAGAUCAAAACUUUGUAUUAAGGAAUUUGUGAAAAAAAAUAAGGGAGUGGCGCCUUCUUUAUUAGUUGAAACUUCAUUGAAACUUUAAGAACUAAACUAGAGACAUGAAGCAUCAAUUGCAAUAUUGCUUCCCAAUAUAAUGGUCUAUUGUGAUUUAACUAAAACCCAAUACUAAGUAUCAAACAAUUUUGAUAUCACUUUUCUUAAUUGAUUUUACAAUGUAUGAUCUCUUUUUAAUUUUUGGUGUCAAAUUUCAAAUUUCUUUAACGGAAAUUCUCUAAAAGGUUGCAAUUUUUUGAAAAUUUAAGAGUGCAACUCUUAGGGUAUAUUUUAGAGGAUUUUUCAUUCUUCUCUUUCGUCCUCCAUUGCCUGAUUGAAUUAACUAAAAGAAGUAGUAAAGAGUUCUUGAACCUUUGGCUCUUCUGUUUACUACUUUUGCAGAUUCAUUGAUUAUUUUAUAUCGCCUUUAAUUGUUUUCACUUAAUAAGCUAUGCAUGGAUAAGGUGAUGCGGCACAACUCUUGCAUUUUGGGAGGCAUUUUUUGAUAUUCCUACAUAUUGUUCCUUUUUGACCUCCCUCUUCGUCUCUUACAUGAAAACAUACACUAUUUUUCUCAGAGAGAACCUCUAAAAUUGAGUAUUGCAUGCAUGAGAAAACUAAAGUUGUAACUCUUCAACUUUAUGUAGUUAAGAUUGUGUUUUUUGUCGUCUACGUUUUUUAAAUUUCUUGAGUCUAUUUUAGAAGGAUUUGAAUUGUACUGGAUAUUAGCUCGAUUUCUGAUUUAGUGUUUUCUUAUCUUAAAGAAUUUUCUGUGAUCUUUUCAUUCGUCAACGUAUAUAUGAUCAUUUCUUUCUUCCCAUGCUAUACUCUUUUGCUUAAUAUGUUUUAGUAUAGGCCAAACACAUCGACAGACCCUUCAACUUGGAACCAUCUUACACUUUGUCACCUCAAGUGGACGUUGUUCACUUUUGGCACCUCAAAUAGUACACUGAUGUGUCAUUUUGGCACUUUUUGCUAAGUCAUCAUGGGGCGUGUGUUACACGCAUUUUAAGUACGUUUCAGGGGUAUUUUCGUAAUAUUUUCAUCUUUCUUCUCUUUUUUUCUCACUCUUUCAAUCCAUUAAUUUUCCACCAUUUUUUCCUUUUCUUAACACAACUAUACACUAAUUUUCUCUUCAUUGAUCGAAUUAACACACAUUAUUGCCACUACCUCACUCUUUCUCACCCACUUUUCUCUCCCUUUAAUUUGCAUGUCCCUCCUUUGAUCACUAUUCAAUCUUGAGCAACAGAAAAUCAACCAUUUAGUUGAAGAAAAUAUAUUGAACAUUAUGUUGGGGAGGGAUUCAGGGAAGGAGCACUAGAGAUAAAUGCAACUGAUUCAAAAACAGAUGAUAGGAGGAGCAAACGUUAGAAAUAAGAAUGGUGAUUUUAACAAAAAUCAAGAAUUUCUCUUCUUUAAGAAACAAGAAAUCAAGAAAUAAAAAUGGUUGUUUUUAAGAAACAAGAAUGGUUGAUUUUCCCUUGUGUUGAUUUUAACCAUUCUUGUUUCUUAAAAUGGGUUCCUUCUUAAAAUGAUUUUUUUGACCAAUUUAUUUUUCCUGAUACCAAAUUGUUGUCAAUUUGAUUGAAAAUUAUUACCAAUUUGGAUGGAGGGUGAAAAAUUAUUGUCAAUUUCCUGUCAAGUUGUUGUGAAUUUAAUGUCAAUUUGAUCGGAUUGUUGCAGCGAUAUUUGGAAGAUGGAGGUGGCGGCAAAUGAUUUAGGGGUGGUUGGGUUAAGAAAGAUGAUAUAGGGUGGGGGUGAGGUGGUUAAGAAGAUGAUAUAAGGUGGGGGUUGGGUUGUUAAUAUUUUCUUUUAUUUAAAUUAAUUAUAUAAAAAUUAUUUUUAUAAAAAUGAAUUGGUCCCUUUCUACAUCAUCAGCGCGUGUAAUACACGCGCAUGGUAUAUUUUUGCUAAUUCAGUAAAAAGUGUCAAAAUAACACACGCAUAUGCUACUUGAAGUGCCUAAAGUGAACAACGUCUACUUGAGGUGCCAAAGUGAAAGAUGAUGCCAAGUUGAGGGGCAUGUCGAUGUGUUUGGUCUUAAGUAUAACAUAAUGGUAGCUGGUAAGGAGUUCUCAUUUCGUUUAUUGAAUACUAAUAAAGUCCGUUUUAUCCCCUGUCUUAAUUCUAGAUUGUAAAUUUCUCAUCUAUAUUUGAAUCUACGAAAGUACCAUCAGUAGAAUUAUUUUGAACUCUACUUUGGUGUUACAAAUUGUGCUAGAAUUUCUCAUAAGAUUUCACCUGAAUUUUUAUUUAUUUUCCUUUUGAUAUUUCAACUAUAUUAACCAACCAUCCAAAUAUUAUUUGUCUUGGUGUCACUUCUGUAAACAUCUAGCACUAACACUAUUUGAUUUAUUAUUUUUCCCUUGGAAGAGUUGGCUAUCGGAGUAUGAAAAUUCGAAUCAGAUUAAUCAAUUUUAUCAAGUCGUAGGUUUUCUAGAACAUUUUGUUUUCACAAUUUUAGAAAAAAUGAUUUUAGUACUAUUUGCUUUAUUUUAGUUAGUUGAGUCAAGGUUCUUUCGGAAAUCGUCUCUCUUCAAGAUAGAGUUAAGAUUUGCGUACAUUCUAUCCUCCUCAGACCCCACUAAUUAUUAAAUUUCACUUAAUAUGUUGUUGUUAUUUCUUUUUUGUUGUAAGAAUUGGUGUAAUUUGUUUCGAGAAUAUGAAUUUCGUAACCAUUAAGUUGAUAAAAAAUAAAGCGUUUCAGUCAAUAUGUCUGCAAUGGAAUUAAAGGUAAUUGCAAUGGAAUUAAAGGUAAUUGCUUUGUUUAAUCAUCAAAUUUGGUAUAUCAACCUUUUUCUUACAAUUCAAUUAGUCACUAUAACUGCAUCCAAGGGUGUGGUCCAAUGAUCAAUGAUGUGGGUUGAGAACGUAAAAUUUCGAAUUCAAACCCCAACAGAGACAAAAAAACACUAGGUGAUUUGCCUUGGUGGACAGAACUACUUGAUAUCUAUUGCUGGUGAGAAGUGGCACGUAUCCCAUGGAUUUGGUCAAGGUGUGCAAAAGUUGGCUAGACACCACAAUUAUCAAAAGAUAUUAUUCUCUGUAAUUUAAUGUUUUUUGUUUUGGUUACAGGAGAAUUCAUGUUUGGUUAAACAACAUUGAAAGCAUUCCUUACAAUCUUCAAAUUUUUGGGUGCUAUUCCAACUGAAAAUUAGUUCUAUGAUUAUUUUUCUUGGAUUUGUUUGAAACCUGUUACUGGAUUUGGGAUGUGAUUUGAUUUAUUGGUGUAUGUUGCAAAAGGAUGUAAUUUUACAGGAAAUAUGUAUUCAAAAGAAUGUUCGAAAGUAAUGAAUAAGAUUUACAUCAGGUGAAUAUUUGAGUUUGUGAUGUGAUAAGUUUAUAUACGCAGCCAAAAUUUAAUUUCAAUUAAUUCUUUAAUACUUUCCGCGCAUCACACGGUACUAUAACAAUUUUUAUUUUAAAAGAUUAGGUAUAUUCAAUUAAUUUUACCGUCACCAAUUAGUUUCGCAGUUGUUCUUCUUGAAUUCUAAUUAAUGAAAUUCUUUAUUGUUAAGAAAUGUCUAACCACUUUAGGUUAGCCAAAAUGAAUCAAUUAAACUUAUAGUAUUAGUAGAUAUCUUUUAAUUAUUUAGACAUGAUCGAUAUAGAAGCUUAUUUAAAUAUAAAGGUUAUCUUAGACAAAACAAAGUUAAGUGACUAGUCAAAUGAUUCUUAUGUCACGAAAUAAAGUUAGAGCGAUUUCUGUUCAAGACAAAAUUUAUUAGUUGAGUGACAAUAUAUGAAAUCAAACUUGAGAAAAGCCAACUUCAUUAUAUUGACAACAAUAGAUGUUGAUGAUGUUGGUAAUACAUAGACUGAAUGACAUUUUUCUUGUGCUCUAUUCUCCCUAGUAAUACUUAAAACAUGGAUUACAGUAAUGUUGAUAUUAGAUACUCUCUUAGUGCUAAAAUAGUUAGAAAGAGUUUAGUAAUUCAAUUGUGAGGCCUUAAUUAGGUCUGUUUGAAGGAGUUUUGCCUAGCAAUUUUGAGAAGAGUCUUGUCAGCUACAACAAAAUAUGCCAUGCCAGCAGCUGUAGAGACAAUAAGGGCUUUUGCAGUUGGAUUCAGAUAAGUUCUUGCCCAUGGUGACAUCUUUCCAUAAGCAUACUGCAUGUUAAUUUCAUCAAUAUUUCAAAUAUUAGAAGUCAAGAACAUUGUCAUUGGCAUGAAAAAUAUUUUUCUAAAAAUAUUUUUUUCUAAGUGGUUAGCAAACAUUUUCCCAAGCCGGGAAUGUUUUAGAAACAACCUCUCUAAAUCUCACGAGCUAAAGGUAAGGUCUGCGUACGCUCUAUCCUUUUAGACUCCAACAGUAAAACUACAUUAGUUUUUGACGGAGAUCAUUUACUUCAUCAUAAUAAUCUUAACUCUUAAUUAUAUCUCAAUGUUUAACAUUAUUAUCUAUCCUUUAUGCCCCAUGGUACAAACAACACUCCUAAAUCUUGAAAAAUAUUGAAAUGUAAAUGUGUAUAUUAGAUCAAAUCUUACAGCUGGAAUGGCAGUAGCAAUAGAUGCAAUGACAGCUGCUUUUGCUCCAGCAAUUACUCCUUCUGCAUAUAUACAAAUCAUACAAAAAAAACAUUCAUCAUAUAAUCAAGUUAAUGGAAAAAUCUUAAUGGUAAGGUAGAAGCAAAGAAAGAUAAAGUACCAUGAGAGUAACGCUUAGCCAUAGCUAACUUUUGAUCCAUUGAAGCCAAACUCACACUCUUGGCCAUUUUACUUUUGUAUAAAAAAAAAAAAAUAGGAAUAAUAGUAAUGCUUUAUACUUUUGGAAGAAACAUUGAUGAGUUUGUGAGUGAAGUAAGAAUGAAUAUUUAUAGGCAUUUCAAUUUUAAGUUUGGACGAAAGUGUUUGAUGGUUUUGGCUAAUUUCCAAUGUACCAAAGUCACUUGUUUUUGCCUCAGUUGCUAAUAGUAUUAUAAGUUUAAUGUAUUUGCAGAUUACCAGGUUCUUUGUGUGGUUCAGUUCAUUGGACUUUGUUUGUUUGUCUGUACAUGAACUAUGACUGAAUUUUCUGAAUCUAUGGUUAUAAAAAUCAAGAAUAAUACUCUCUUAUUCCAAUUUGUUAGUACUACACCUGCGUAUCAUAUUAGUUGAUUGUCUUAUUAAAAUACAUAUCCAAAUUACUUAUUCACUUACUAAAUCAAGAUAAUAUUAAUUAACUCUUCUAAAAAAAAUAAAAAAUUGUAAAGUUUUAAAAAAAUAUUUAAAAGGCAAAUUAAUAAAAUUAUCCUUUUUAUUUAAAUGACUUUUGUCAUACCAAAUAUUGAUACAUGAAAUCAAGGAUAUCAGGUGGUACCAUAGUUUGGAGAGUAUAAUUUGCAAGUGGUUUUGGGAGUUCAGGAUAAAAAGCACUGCCAAAAGCCCAAAACAAUGGGUAAAAAGGGCAGUUAUGUAAGUGCGUGCUGUUUAGGAUCUAGUGCCUCAUGUUCAGCCUUAGUGAGAUAUAUCACCCUUUAUAACACCUGCCCAAAAGUUCUUUCAGGUUCAGUUGAUUUGGAGGGAUAGUCCACAUGGAUGAUUCGAAUUUAAUCGCUUCUUAGUAUCUUUUGAGUCGAGUCUGUUGCACAGGACUUGUCUAGUGCAAUUUACCUUCUUUGAGUUGUAGACACGUGAUUUUGACCCUCCCCGAAUUUAAUAUAUAUAUAUAUAUUUAUAUUUGAUUUGAUAUUAUUUUAAUUAUUAUUUUAUUUUUGGCAAAUUUUUAGUUAAUAAAUAAAUAAAUAAAUGAAAUUAAUCUCAGGAUAUUAUUUUAUUUUAUUCCAAUUUAAAAAAAAAUAAUACAAAGAUUUAAAAAAAAAUAUGUUUCUUUUUAAAUAAAUAAGUUAGUAGUUUUAGUACUAUCUUAAUUAUAUUUAUUUUUGGCUAUUUAUAAACUUUUAUUUUAUUUUAUUAAAUAUAAAAGUUAAUCAAUUAUUAGUAUAUUAUUUUUAUUAUUAUUAUUAUUAUUUUAUUUAUUAUUUUUAUUUUUAUUUUUCAUUAUCUUCUUUUGUUUUAAAAAAAAAAUUAAAAAUUUAAAAAUCUAAUCCUAUCCUUAACUACCUCAACCACCCCAACUUUCCCUCCAACUCCCUCAAUUUUCCCCCUCCUAUAUAUCUAUAUAACACAACAUAUGACAAAGAAAAAAACUCACGAAAAAAAAAACAAAAAAUCUGGAGAUAAACCAAAACCAAAACCAAAACAAAAAAAAUGGAAAAGAAAAACACUUAAAAAAAAAAAAGGACCGAAAACAAGAAACAGUGAGUGAAAACAAGAAAUAGUGAGAAAACCAAAAAAAAGUAAGAAAAGAAAAGUGUUCCAAAUAGUUGAGGCCGGGUCUCCGUUUGAGUUUCCGAUGACGAUAUUCUUUUUUUUUUUCGGUUUUAAUUCAUCACACAGGUUCAUAUCAAAUUUUGUAUUAUUUAUUUUAUAAGUUUUUGUUAUAAAUCGAAUUGUGAAUGAAUUUAUUUCAAUGGCUUCUUCUAUUAUUUAGUAUGUUUAAUUUAUUUAUUUUUUUGCAAUUCAUGCUUUAUGUCUUUAUUUGUAAUUCGUAUGUUGUUUUCGAAAUAAUGUUAGUUAGAUUGAUUUUGAAUUUUAAAUGAAAUAAUCUUUAAAGUUAUUUGUGUUUUAAUAUGUAAAAUUGUGUUAAUUGACAUGCAUUUAGUAUGUAGUUAUGUUAAAGAUCACAAUUAAUGAUUCAUGAAUGCAUGCAUGCAAGAAACAAAAAAAAAUGAAAUGAAAAACAUAACAUGUUAAGAAUAAAGGUUUUUUUUUUUUUCUUUCCUUUCAUGGAUUUAGAGUAAUGAUUUGUAGUUUUCUUUUAAAAAAAAAAAAAAAAACGACCAAGAGAGUUAAAAACAAAAGCACGGAAUUUUGAGAAAUAAAAAAGUAGGUNNNNNNNNNNNNNNNNNNNNNNNNNNNNNNNNNNNNNNNNNNNNNNNNNNNNNNNNNNNNNNNNNNNNNNNNNNNNNNUAUUUCAUGUUAGUUUAGUUAUGGAAAUUUUGUUAAAUCUAACACGUGAUCAUUUUUUUUUUCUUCUUUGUUGUUGUUCUUAAUUUCGUUAUGAUAAUUUUGUUAAAUAUAACUUUAUUAAUUAACUUUAUCAUGUGAUUAUGUUAUUUUGCUUUUCAUUAGUUUUUUUUAGCCUAUAUAUAAUUUUGUUCACAAAGCAUAAGAUUAAUUUGUUUAGGAAGAUUUAUUUAUAUAGAUAUAUAAUAGCCAUAAUUCAUAAAGGAAAAGAAAAGAGAGGAAAAACUCAUUUAGCAAGGGAGAAAGACGAGUUGCGGGUUAAUUCCAAAACUCGUUACAAAAUAAAGAGUGAAAUGAAGUAAAUGCUUUUAUAUGCUAGAUAAGUUUUCACGUUUAACAAAUUUUGUCUUGAUGAAGAAUGUAGCGUACGCAUCUUUUUGAGAUGUUUAAAAAUAAUUCGAGGAUGCAAUAUUGCACCUCGGCAAAGAUAGUUUUAAAAUUAAUUUCCACUAGUUUAAUACAAGAGUUAUAGACAAAUUUUAGAUAUUAAAAAUGAGCGAACCUAGGCCCAAACAUAAUUCAUAAAAAUAGUUUAAGUCAAGAUAAGUCAAUAAAAGCGACCGUACUAGAACCACGGGACUCGAGGGAUGCCUCACACCUUCGCCUCGAUCAAUAGAAUUUCUUACCCGGUCUUCUGUUUUCGCAGACCAAAUAAGAGUCAUUUCCUUUUGAUUAAGGAUUCAAAAAGGUGAUUUGGAACACCAUAACUCAAUUCCAAGUGACGACUCUGAAAAAUGACAAAAAAUAAUCCCUAUUCAAUACCGUCACUUUAAUUGGAAAAGCCCUUCGACUCGAUUCCUAGAGCGAAAAAGGGGUGUGACAUGAGUGGUUUGUAGGCUAUUACAUAGUAGGGUGUUUACCCAGUGUGCACAAAGUGCUCACCCAAAAGACAGAAGUUGUAGCAAUUGCGGAUUACCCUGGGAUUUAAGAAACAUCUGCCUAAAGGUUUGGAGGGUGGUUAUCCACAUGGAUGACUCGAGUUUAAUCCCCUUCAUUGCCUUCUGAACCAAGUCUGUCGCACAGGGCUUGUCUUGUGCGAUUACAUCUCUUGUGUGAUUUGCAAGCUAUUACACAUUGGAGAAUUUAUCCAGUGUGCACAAAAUGCUCAUUCGAAAAGCAAAAAUUGUAGCAAAGAUUAUAGCAAUUACGGGUUAUCCUAGGAUUCCAAUAAAACACUUGCCUAAAAACUAGCAGCUUGAUUAGAUAAAGAUUGGUAGAAAGGAAGUACCUUUUUAUUUUAUUUUCCAUCAUCUUCAUUGAGUUCGAGUCGAGAGUAUUUUAGAAACAACUUUUUUAUUUUCUCAAAUCUCAUAAUGAAAUUCCAUCGGCUAUGUUGUUGUCGAUUGAUUGUAGAUAUGGGAUAUGUAGCGGUGAUCUUCACACUGACAAACAGAGGUGGUAAAAUUAAUUAUUAAUCCGCUCAUUUAUUAAUGCUUAAUUAUACACACCUAAAAUUAAAGGACAUUUUAUGUCAACUAAGAUAAAGUUAAAUGGAUAACAAUUUUAGUAGGAGUUUGACCACUUUUUUCUGAAAAAUUAUUUCACUUUCAUGAAAAUAAUGAAAAUACCAUUGUUUGGCCAUAAGAAUUAUUUUAUUUUAAAGAAAAUUAUUUUUGAAAGAGUGAAAACAAUAUAUCACUCACAAACUUUUAAAAACAACUCCAAUUAUAUUCAUGGCAAACACAACUUCAACUUUAACUCCAAAAAAUUAUAUUUUCACGACCAAACGGAGCCUUAAUGUCUUGAAAAAAAGUCAUACUUCCCCUACCUCACUUGUGAAAGUUUAGUAAGUAUGUUGUUGUUGUUGGAAAAACGUCAUACUUCAAUGUUUGAAACUAAUUUAAUUAAAAACUUCACAUUUAGCCCAAAGUAAAAUGAUUUAUAGACACAAAUGUCCAUACGCAUGUUAGAGCACAAAUUUUAAGUCUCUCUCCCUAAUGCUGCAUUCAGUAAAAGCACAGCCACUUAAAUUGGGAGAGAGUAAAAGAUUUCUACUUCUGAAUGUAGCUACCAAAUUGGAUGAUAGUAAUCCUUUCAUUAAACCUUUUUUGGGCAUCAAUUUAAGACUAUUUUACUUUACCCCGCACAUGGAAAAAACUAUAGUCUCCUUUUUCAACAAUCUCUUUAUAGUUCCAUAGCAACAUAUAAUUAAACAAAGCAAGCAUAACAAAUGAGGAAGGCUGACUACCAUGUAUGUAUACUACUACAAUUGUUACUAUGAAAGUCACUUAGAUUUCCCUUUCUUUGAAGGCCCUUUUGUUGAUGAUUUCUUGUAGGGUGACUUCCUUGCCUUCAACUUGCUAUCAGUCGACGAUGACCUCCCUCCUUGGCUCCUUCCUUUCUUCUCUUUUUUCACAUUGUACAUGUUUACAGCCUACAGUAUAGAUGAAAAGUUCGCACCAAUUAGCGGAAAGCUAGUGUUACCAAAAGGAAAAAAACGCAAAAAGGCUCCAAGUUCAGUUGGGGCUUGAAGCGCAAAAGCGUAAAUAAACUUGGGCUUUAAUGAGAAAAGGUGCAAAAGGAGAAAACAUACAAAUAUAUCUGUAGUCAGAGACUAAUAUCAAUCAUUUAGUGCCGCCUCUUUAGAAGAGAUUCAUUGGCAAGAAAAAGUAGCCUAGCGCGUUGAUGACGACACUAAAGUGCACAUUAAGCGACGCGAAGAGUCAACUUGUUUUGAGGCUUACUUCAGGGCUUCAGUGCGCUUUAAGCAUGCCUUUGACAACACUGGCGCGUACGAUCUUGGACGAUAAAAUGAUACAGAUGUACAUAUGCAUAUGCCAUACCUUUUGCACAUUGAGUAUCUCAUGGGAGCUCUUGCCCAUCAACUUGUUUAGAACCUUUUCGGUUUGCUGUUUCUCUAAGGAGCCCAUUCCUGAUCCCUCUGCGACUGGUAGGAACUGGUUGUAGUAGAUUGGAGUUAAAAGUGGGCUUAGACAUGUACAAUCAUCAGAACUAAGCAAAAGAUAUGUAUGCACGUUUCCUAGUACAAACCUUCCGAUACUUCUUGUCAUGUUUUGGGGGCUUUUCACCAGGCAACUUCUUGUCAAAUUUUCCGCCACUAGCUGUUGCGUGUGCUGCCAUUCCAGCUACAUUCCCGAGUUCAUCCUUGCUAAUUUUCCUUUGUGCAGCUUGUGUUCCUGUUAUAGGCAGUGCUGUGGCAGCAAGCUGAACGUGACUGCAAAGCAAGAAACCUAGUGUGACGCACAUGUUCUUCACUGUCGUGCCAGCAAGUGGCCAACUAAUGUAUGCUAACACAACAUAGUGAGGAAUAUAAAAGUCAAGGGCAAGAAACAGAAAGAGGACAUCACUAAACAACCCCAAGGAAAUUCACAAAGAAAAAUGAACUUCUAUUUGAUUCAUUCACUAAUGUUAUGAGUUCACUAAGAUUUGAGGUAAGUGAUCGGAAAAGAUUAGACGAGUAGACAUACUCUUUUGGAUAAAUGCUUCUACAGCUAGAUAUAAUUAAAGAAGUUCUUUCAAUAGGAUCUUCGUUUUUUAUCCAACGUUGACUAUGCAGUCUUGUUGUAAGAGAUAAAAAUUUCAUGCACAGGCUUAAAACUCUGUGACUUCCAAGUCGCGAAGAAUCCUCUCCUUCCAGUGUGAUGAUACACUUGGUCACCAUUUGUGUCCAAAAUCAUUUUGAGAGAACAUCAAACAAAUUGCAAAGCGAAAAACAUGUCGGGAUUCGUAGGCACACCGAAUAGGUGCAAGGAGGUCUCUUUGGGGGAGUACAAAUUUUAACCACCACGCUUAUCAAGAAAAAUGACAUCUGACGGAAGGAUGCAAGAGAAUAAGAAAAAGGGAAGAUGCAAACUUCAAGGCAGAAUUUAGCAACAGAUAAUAAAUCCCUCAUAGAUGGCAGUAACUAAUAAAGAAUAAGAUUGUUGCAGAAAACCAAUGAGAAGUUCAGAAGAACAAGACCUUGGCAAGGCACCAGCUUUUGCAGCUUCCUUCAAGUUGCUAUAUCGAUUUUUCUCUUGUUUUUCUAUUCUCUUUUUCUUAUCUUCUUGUCUCUUAGCAAAAGGAUCUUGACCAGGCUCUGAAAAAACAAACCGGUGAUGAAAACAUUUUCAGAACAAUAUCAAAAUGCUAAUGCAGGCAUGUUCUUCCCUUCAUUGACAAAGUUAAGUUGUUUUCCCUAUAGUUAUCAUCAUGAGUACUUGAUUGACACAAGAGAGUACAAUCGGAAUCAGUAUCUAUUAAGAACCGAGAUACUGAACUUCGACUUAAAGACAUAAAUUUAUUUUAGGAUCUUAUGACCCUUUGAAUCCUAUUAUUCAACAUCAUUGCAGUUGAGAACUUGAGACAUAAAAGAAAAUUGAGUAUCGCAGAAGUCGAGGACAAAAAUUUUCUUAUUUACCAUCAGUUGCCUUGGCUUCAAUGAUAGGCACAUCUUUGUCAUCAUUAACGCGAUCGUAGCCAUGUCUGCGCUUCCAUGAACCAGUUUGAUCAUCAAACACAACCUUGUCUUUAUUACGUUUUUGUAUACCUGCAAGACACUUUCCCAAGAAUUAAAAACAAUGAAGGUCAACUAAAUCAAGCAUUGACUGUUCUAAAACCCACAAGAUAUUCACAUGGUACCUUUCUUCUUGGCAAACAGUUCCCAUUUUGUUGGCGGUUUAGGCUUUGGAAGCUGAAACAAUCAAAUCAUAAUUAGCACUAAAUGGAGCUGAUGGAUUUAAUAGAUAAGGCAAGGCCACUGUAAAGAAGAUAUCUUUUCCACUAUGCAUAUAUAGAAGAUAGGGAUGGGAGGAAGGGAGGCAUCUUAAGCAUCCUAUAAAACAAAAUUUUGACAAUAGAAUCAGUGAAAGAAAUUCCUUAAAAUAUGAAAUCAACAAACUUAGGCCAAAAUAUAUUAUAAAUGUUACAUCAACCAUUGCACUACUUCUCUGGGAAGAGCAAAUAAAGUAGUAAAUCGGGAGCAUUGGCAACAUAAUUUCUUGUCACAUAACUUCUGACAAUGUUUUGGUAAAGACCACAUAACUUACUCAAAUUAUGAGGCUUAAAAUCUUGGUAAGCACUUUUCCCCUGUGCCCUCUAUCGUAAAGUACAUUAUCAUAACUGAUGCUUCAUAUCAGAUUCAAUUCACGAAUUUCACAUUUGGAGCUAGGGUCACAUAAAUGCCCAAAAGAUUUAUGAGAUUCGAUUAUUCUUUAUCAGAAAGCUAUGUUGCUCAGACUCUCCAAACUCUUGCCACACCCAUGUCCGAUCCUCCAAAAAUGCACUACUUUUGGAGGAUCCGACAUGCAACCGUCCACUUUUUUGAAGAUUCCGAGCAACAUAGUCAGAAAGUACCAACACAAUAGAAAACAAUUCAGUUGUUUCAAUAUUGUGAAUGCCAGAAAAAGUAGUUCAUUGUUGCAAAUAUGUGCUCUAACUCACAACUCUAGGAACUGAUAAGAAAACACACAAUUCUUCCGCAACAAAUAGAAAUGAGGUCUUACAGGCUUCUCUCUAGGCAAUCUCGUAGUUGGUUGAGGCAACUGAACUAGUGGACCAUCAGGGCUUUCUGCUGAAGGUAAGUUGAAGAGGGCAUCUGCAAUAGCUUGCACUAACUUGGUCCCCUCCUGUAGACACUCCUUCACCAACUCCUCCCUACAUAUUUAGAACAAGAAUACAUGAUGAAUAUAGGGAACCCAUUGAGUGUCCAUAUCAUUAUACCUUAGUCAAAACAUCAAAUUGAGCUAACAUUGAUAAUUGUGAGCUAGUUCCCCUUGAGUUAAACUAAAAAAUACAACUUUAACAAAAACACUCCAUAAUAUUUGGAGCAAAAAUGUGUGAGUCAUAGAAGGAAUUUCAUGAGUAUCAUUCACAUUGCAAAAAACAUCAAAUUCCUUUUCCUGUUGAAUUGACCACCACAACCCAAAAUAAAAGAAAAGAUCAACAAUAAUAGAAACACGGUUGGUCCAAUAUUUAGGUGCAAAAGGCAUAAAGCAAAUACCGUUCAAAACCAUCUUAAAUACAUAAGUAAAAGCUAAGGGAUCAACUCUAAAAUAUAGAACUACAAGUUUACAGCUUCUCAUUGCAAUUCAACCAGAAUAGAGACUACCAAAACGUCUUGCAUUUCUCAAUGAUGAUGUUGGGACUGUAGCAAAAAAGAAUUGGCUUAAUUUGCCUUUAGUAUCGGAUUUAAGUUAGUUAAGAUUCGCCCCUUCUUCCAGUCAAAAUUAGUUCCUGAGACCCUGCGAAUUAGCAAACGCCAGCAGUAAGCUAUUAGGUAUUGCAACCCAAGCAGGAAACUCAAAAGGAAGUUGAACCAGAUAUCAAACUAACAAAGGUGGCUUAUCAAUUAAUCAAGCUUCCACCUAAAUCAGUUGGGAUUGGCUAUCAGAAUCCUCUACACCUAUUCUUCCAUCUUCGGGUCCCUUAGGAAUAUAUCACUUUAUUUCCCUUUUAAAGGACAAACUACGAGUUCUGUAAAUCUCAGACAUAUCUCUAAACAGCUAACCAAUUUAAUCCAAACUAGCUAGUAUACUUUUAGCUAAAUCUGCACUGUUUACCAGAGAUGUUAAGGUCUUUUGACAAUUUCCUGCAAUUUUAGAUCCAAACAUUUGCCCCAAGAUUAAUCUCUCACCCCACAAAUCAAAAAGCAACAUAACUUGAGAAAAAUCAUCCAAAUAGUGGAAGAGAAUACUCUUAAACUCUUUCCAUGUUUCCACCUUUUCAAGCCAGUGAAAAGCGCAAAGAACACGAUACAUGAUAACGAAAGGGCACUGUUCAAAAAAAUAGCUAAUCAGUUUAAUCCAACUUGUUAGGUAUCAUUUACUCAAGACACUUUACUUCCAUCUUAUUAUAUUCUUAGCUAAAUCUGCACGAAUUCCUACAGAGUUUUAGGUCUUUUGACAGUUCCCUGCGAGUUUAGGUCUACCCCUUUACCUCAAAAUGACUCUUGUCACCUCAUAAAUCAAAAAAAGAAUACAAAGCUUAAGCAAAAAUCGUUCAAAUAGUGAAAGAUAAUACUCCAAAUUUUAUCCAACAUUUUACCUCUCGAGCAGAAAUCAGCACAACAGUAUAUGUUAAAAAAGGGUACUUUCCAAGAACAUAGCUAACCAGUUUAACCCAAACUAGCUAGGUAUCACUAACACAGACACAUCACUCCCAUAUACUAUAUUCUGAGCUAAAUCUUCACCUAUUCCCAGGGAUAUUUAGUCUUUUUUGACAAAUUUCCACGAUUUUAGGUUUACCCCUUCAAAAUGAACAACACAACUUAAGCAAAAAUCAUCCAGAUAGAGAAAUAUAAUACUAUAAAGCCUAUCCAAGAUUCUGCCUUUCGAGCAGAAAUCAGCACAACGCUACAUGUUAAUCAAGAAUAGCUAAAUCUAUACUGAUUCCAGAAAUUUUAGCCACCAGGUCUACCCCUUUACCCCAAUAUGACUAUGUCACCUCAUAAACCAAAAAACAACACAACUUACCAGCAUCAGGUACCAGGUAACUCUUUUUUGUCUAAGAUCUUUUAACAAUUUCAUGUGAUUUUAGGUCUAUCCUUCUACCCCAAGAUAACUCUAUCACCUCACAAAUCAAGAAAACAACAUGACUAAAGCAAAAAAUCAUCAAAAUAGUGAAAUACAAUACUCUAAUUAUAUCCAAGAUUCCACCUUUCAAACAAAAUUAGCACAACAGUACAUGUUCAAUCCAACUUUUAGGUCUUUUGACAAUUUCCUGCAACUUUAUGUCUACCCCUUUACCCAAAUAUGACUCUUUCACCUCAUAAAUCAACACACACACACACUCAACUCAAGCAAAAAUCAACCAAAUAGUGAAAUAAAAUACUCUAAAACCUUUCCAAGAUUCAACUUUUCAAGCAAAAAUAAGCACAAUAAUACAUGUUAAAUAAUGGUAAUUUUCAAGAAAGUUGAACCUGGAAGAGGGUGGAGAUGCAAAGUUGUGAUGAGGGUAAGAAGCCAUUAGAUUACCCACAUCUAAUUCGUAUGAUUCUUGAACCAUCUCCAUUUUUUCCAAUUGGUAUGGUUUCGUUUUUCAGAGGAAUAUGGUAGAAAGAGUGGCGAGGGUUUAAGGAGGUGCGGCUUGGUUUUUAUGACAAAAAUGAGGGGUAUAAAAUGCAAAAUAGGUCAAACUUAGAAGAGCCGCUUAUUAAAUUACUCCCUCCAUUUAAAAAAACAAGGGACUACUUUUCAUUUUUAGUUCGUUUUAAAAAAAAUAAUUUUUUACUUUUUUUCACAGAUUUUUAUUUUAUUCGUUCAUUUUUAUUUAUUCACUCUAUUAAAAAUAAAUAUUUAAUAAUAUUUAUUCAGUUUAAAAAAUUAAUGAAUAAUUUAUCUAUUUAUACCAUUUUACCUUUAGCAUGAAAUAUGAUUCAUGAUCCAAUGCGUUUUUUAAAUUAUUAUAUUUAUUAUAUUCAAAAGGUAAUAUAGUAAAAUCAUCUCUAUCAUUUACUAUUUCUCAACCUAUGAACCAAGUUAACAGUAGACAAUUAUUUAUGGACGAAUGGAGUAAUUCUAACUUUUCAUAUUGUAUGUUUUAGACCACAAUAUUAAAGGACAUUUUGAUACAUUUUAUAUAUCUUUAAUUUAAGGCUACAAAAUUGAAAAAUUAGUUAUUUUUCUUUAAUUUUAUGUUAAGUCAAAUAAGGUUAUUUUUUUUAAACGAAGUAUCUUUUUUAUUACUGUUAGUAUCCGGACCAACUUUUAUGGACAAAGAUGGAGAUUUGAAUUGAAACCUCAAAUUUCCAACCAACUUCACUAAUCAUUAAGCCACACCUCCUUAUUAAAUUAUCUUGUUUUGUCUCUUUUUUUGGUUUUCCAUCUUCGAAGGUGGCUAGUUAAUUAGAGAGAGAAAAAAGUUAAUUUAUUUUUAAAUUUACCCUAAAUUAUUAUUGAUUCGAAUUUCUUUUUUUCGUUGAUAUUUGUGAUUGUCUGGGUCAUUUUUCACAUAUUUUGAUUAAAUUCAUGAUAUAAUUAUUACCUCCUACCAAUAUAGAAUAACCUAGAGUCUAUUUACCUUAGGUUCUUAAUCCACUUCAUUGACCACGAAGCUACACCCUUAAUGCAUCGGUGUUAUCAAAGAUUGAAAUUGAAGUUACUUUGCUUUAAAAGUUAGUUAGCACAGCUACAGUGCCUACUUUUCAAGAAAUUAGUUAAGUCUGUUAGUUGACUGUUGGUUAGAACUGCUAUUAAAAAAUAUCUUCAUUUGAUAUAAUUUAUCAGUACAUGAUCUAUAAAUAGUACUUGUAAUCAAUUUUAUAUUCACAUAUGAAAUUACAACUUCCUCUUCUUCAAUUUUAUAUUCACAUAUGAAAUUACAACUUCCUCUUCUUCAAUUUUAUAUUCACAUAUAUCUUCUCUAUUUCUUCUUUUUCUUCUAAAUUUUCUUAUUCUCUCUUGGUUGUCUCCUCUAAUUCAAUUCAUGGACAAACAUUAAUCCUCAAAUAUUUAAGAUUCCUGAAAUCAAGUAACACUGGUAUCAGAGUCGCUCAUUCUCAACAAUAAUAGUGAAAGGUGCAAGAGUAGUUGGUGAUUCGACAACUGAAAUUGCUACUGCAGAGGUUGAAAAAUUGCGUGAAAUGAUGCAGAAUAUGAUGACUAAGAUGGAAUAUUUGACUGAAAAAGUCUCAUUAUUGGAGAGAUUAGAUAAUGUUGUUAUGAAUUUAAAGCAACAACUGAUAGGAAAAGGGAGAAGAAACAUUGUUCCAUUGGUUCAUGAAGAGCAUUAUGACCAUGAAGGUGGUAUAGGAAAUUAUAGAGAAAGGAAAAAAACAUAGGAAAUAACAAAGAGAGGGAAAAGAGUCCUAAUUUUGGUAAUACUUCUCAAUUUCCUAUUUUUUUAAAUUUUCAGCACUCUCAUUCAAUAAAUGGACAAGAAUGAAAUUUUUGAAAUUUUUUGGGGAUGAUCUUCGAUCUUGAUUAUUCUAGAUUGAGCAAUUCUUCUCUAUAGAGAAUUUUGCACCUGAAAAGAAGGUGAUAAUCACAUCUAUGCAAUUUGAAGGGAAAGUUAUUCAGUGGCAUAUCUCCUUUAUGAGAUAUAGGCAGUAUUUGCAGACUAUAAGUUGGAAGGACUAUGUGAAAGCUUUAGUAGAAAGGUUUGGAAUUGACUUUGUUGAUUCCAUGGGGAAAAUCAAGAAAUUAAAAUUAAACAAAUCGGAAGUAUAAGAAAGUAUCAAGUUAUUUUUUAAAGAAGUUUGAUAAAGGUAAACCUCUUAGAAAAGAACGUUACUAGUUGCUACAUUAAAGGCUUAAAGACUGAAUUGAAUAUUAUUGUCAAGAUCACAAAACCUUUAUCUUUAUCUUAGGUUUAUAAGAAUGCAAGAAGCAUAUUUGUUUGCUAUGAGGCAGUAGUCCACAAAUUCUUCUCAAGGGAAUACAAAGAAGUUUGUAAAUAAGAGAUACCCUAAUAAUAAAGGUAUUUUACCUACUCCUGGUAGCAAUAGUUCUAGAUUCUCUAAGGGAUUAAUAUAAGAAUUCUAAAUUUUGAAGAGUAAUGAUAAGAGGGCAAAAGGAUUAUGCUAUUUUUACAAUAACAAUACAUGUCUGGUCAUAAAUAUAGAACUUCAAAACAAUUGUACUUACUGAAAAUGGAUAACAUAGAAGGGUUAGAAGAGUACAGUGAUAAUUAAGGGGUGAAAUCCCAGAAGAACAAGGUGAUCAAAUGGACUUGGGACAACUUGUAAAACACAUAAACAUUUUCAUACAUGUUUUGAAUGAUUCAUUGGGAUUUAAGAUCUUAAAGUUGACUGGUUAUCAUUCUAAAAUGGAGGUCCGUAUCUUUAUUGAUAGCAGUUCUCAUAAUUUCAUUGACCUUGACUUGAUUAGCAAAUUGCGUUGUGAAGUGAAACUUAUCAAGCCUGAUGUGGUAGCAGCUGCUAAUGGUGGUAUGUAGGUGUAUAAAAUGACUACUAUGACUUGGUUACUUCAAGGGACUGAGUUUUGUGUUGAUUUCUUAUUACUUUUUAUUGGUUCUCGUGAAGUGGUGCUUGGAGUUUAGUGAUUACUCGCACUAAAAGAUAUCAAGUUGAACUUCAGGAAAUUGAUCAUGCAAUUCUAGUAUAAUGGGAAGAAACAUGUACGAAGAAACAUGUACUCGGAGGUAGUAGUAAUCAGGUGUUGACUCCUGAUGCAGAAAAAUUAGCAAGACAUUUAGAAAACCAGACUCAUCUGUGUAUGAUUUAGGUGGUGCCACAAGAAAGUGAAGAGUUUAUGUGAUAUCCCUCACAAGUUAACAAGAAUCAAGAGGAUGUCCUUGCAUUGCUUGAGGUAAUGUCUGGAUUUUCUAUAUUUUUGAAGAGCCUAAAGGUAUACUAUUUUCUAAAAGGAUAUAUGACCAUAGAAUUAUGUUGAAACCUGGGUUGAACCUAUCAAUAAAACACCAUAUAAAUAUUCUUCUAUUAUUAAGGGAAUGGUAUAAGAAAUGAUGGAUCAAGGUAUUAUUCAGCCUAGCUGCAGUUCCUUUGCAUCAGCUGCAGUUUUAGUAGGCAGAAAAGAUGACUCUUGGAGAUUGUGUGUUGACUAUAGGGACUUGAACAAGUUAACUGAUAACUAUAAAUUUUCUAUUCCUACUGUGGAGGAUUUUUUGGAUGAACUAGGAAGUUCCAAGGUCUUUUUUAAAAUUGAAUUAAGAUUUAGAUACCAUCAACUAAGAAUGGUCACAAAUGAUGUAUCUAAAACUACUUUCAAAACUCAUUCUGGACACUUUAAAUACUUAGUGAUGUCCUUUGAUUUGUCCAAUGCUCCUACUACAUUUCAAGGACUAAUGAAUUGUAACGCCCUGAAAACGGGUCCCGAGACGUCACACGGUUUUUAGGGCCAUAAGUGACCCCAAGCUAACCCUUCUACCGGUAUAACUCAUAAGAAACUGAAUAAAAUACAUAAAUUUGAAUGCAAUAAGUGAAAGAUGACUCUUUUCUGAAUCUAAUCGACACAAAACUAAAUUAAAAUGAUUACAACUCUGCUUUUAUAAAAUCUGGAAUCAAAUACAUUAACUCUACUGACUAUCUAUGAAGACUCUACUAGUAUUGACUAUAGGUAGCCGGGACAUGACCCCCAGCUAUCCCAAAUUAAUAUGACUGAAUGAAUAAAAAUAAAAUAUUGCUCAAACUAUAUGACUGACUCGAGCCCUUGAAUCAAGAGGACUCGUGACUAGCUGACUGGAAGCUGCAAACUGUCAGAAUAUGGUAUGCGUGCUACAAUUGAACUGAUACCUACAUUAUGAGACAAUGUAGCACAUAGACAUAUAUGUGGAUUAGUACUUUGAGGAUGUACUGAAUAUAUGAGGGUGAAAUGCAUAAGUAAAACAUCAUCUCAUCAUCAUAAUUAUAAAAUAAUGCAUGCUAAAUGUAAAUGACUCACAUAAGCUAGAAUAUCUAAAAAUACUGAAAUAAUAAGAAACAAAUCAUACUUUAUAAAUCUAAUGAGUCAUAACAUUUAGUUCUAAAAGUUGUACUGGUAUUCUCUCUUUAAAUUAUAUUAUCUAAGGUUAGAAAGGACUCACUCUUAAAUCUGAAAUCUAAAAGAUGAAAUUUGUAGCUAAUAUCUUUCUGUAAAGCAUAAUUUGAGUAAACUUUGUAAGCCUUUACACUUGGUUUUCUAAAAGCUUUCUGUUAUUUUUUUCUGAGAAACUAUUCUAAAAAUCUUUACCAUUAAGCUGUAAGGAAAACACUUUAAGAAAAUCUUUCAAAACUUUUCUUUACUAGUAGAGAGGUUCUCUUAACCGACAUAAAUCAUGUGAGCUAAUAUGGAGUCCAACGUCUUGUUCCCUUAUGGGAAAAACCUCACGAUGAGGAGAGGUGUCAUACUCUUGCCAAGGAGUAUAACCUGAGUUAAGUGAUCACAUCUGUAACUGUCACCCAUAUUAGAAUGGAAAUAAUUUAAAUUUGUACCUAAAUUGGCUACAUAGUUUUGUGGAAGAUAGGUCACGCUAAUCCCACACUUUUCGCUCAGUGCUAAAUACUACUCCCUUUAAUCCGCUACGCUCAUUCUGUUGGAAAUCCACUUUAAAAUCUAGUAUAAAGGUUUAUUACGAAAUGAAAAAUGUUUUUAUCUGAGUCAUUCUGUAAAUAAAACUAAUCUGAAUUUUGUAAACUGUAGAAAUUCUGUAAAGUGAAUUUCAUAGCUAAACUGAGGAUUCAAAGAUCAAAUACUAUUUAAUUAUCUAAAAAUAUGAUAAUCUCAGGGUACGUAGAGGUACAACUUCUCAAAAUAUCAAUGCUCAAAAUAGGGUUUAAUAACUCAUGCUUCAAACUCAUGUAAAUUCAUAGCAAAUCAUCAUGCUCAAUAUUCUUCUUGAAAAUACUUCAACAAUAUCAAAAUAAUAAAAUCAAGAAUCACAAUAUCAUGAUUAAGCUCAAUUGAAAAAUCUGAAAAAUCACAUUACAUGCAUAAAUAUAUGAAAAUAGUCAUGCAAUUCAACAUUCAAUCAUCUAUAAAUUUAUAAUCUUCAAAUACUGAUAAUUGGGUAUGAACCCUAAUUUCAAAUAAUAAGAAAUUUGCUGAAAAAUAUAAUCUAGGGGACAAGGAUGAAAGGAUUGUCCUUGUUCAUAACCCCACAUACCUUGAUUGAUGAUUAGAUGAAGAAACUUGAAUUAUUGAUUCCUAUUUGAGUUCUUGAAGAUGAGUUCUUGAUUAUCUUGUCUUGAAAAUCCUCAAUUUUGAGAUUUGUUGGAGAAACAAUGGAGGAUUUUUAUUUCUUGGAGAGAAAGCUUUGAGCUCUAGGGUUUUUCUUUGAGAGAGAAUUGAUGAAUAAUGGGCAUAAUAGGCUUAGAAUGGGUUUAAUCUUAUGUUAUACAUGAAUUGGGGGCUUGGAAAUUGAUCAAAAUACCCCCUUUAAACUUCUAAACGGAACUGGAAAAAGCAACAUUUUUCGAACUGGUAGGCCACCGCGACGCGCCACUAUCGCGGUGGCUUACUAGAAAGUGGCGAGUGGGAACUAGGCGUGCUCUGCGACGCGCCACCAUAGCAGGGCCCCUUUCAAAUGUCAUUUUGGCCACCAACGCGACGCGGUAAGAUCGUGUUGGGUUACUAGAUUUUGACAAUUGGGAAAAUGGACCACUCCUCAAUGCACCAAUAUCCCAGAGGUCCACUGGAAUUGACGAUUGCCAUUUUUUCCUUCUCCGCGAUGUGCUGAGUGCUCAGGUGGCACACUGUCAACUUAAAAAUGUCAUAACUUUUCAACCGCGCGUUGGAUUUAGGCGAAUUUGGUAUCGAUGGAAAACUUAUUCAAAUUUCCACACAAUAGAAGGUCUAAAUCUGGAAAAUUUUACAUGGAAUAAAUAUUAUUCACUUUGAAAGCUAUCCCUUAACAUUCUAGGAACGAAUUUAAGCUAGGAAAAUUACGGGGUGUUGCAUGAACUCUAUAUUUCAAAAGAUUUUAAGGAAGUAUGUAUUUAUUGUUUUUGAUGAUAUGCUAAUUUACAACAAAAAUAUAGAGGAACAUAUUAUGCACUGAAGUCUGUAUUUUUUAAGAGGGUGGAGCAUCAGCUAUUUGCUAAAAAGAGCAAGUGUUUCUCUGGUGUUAAUAGAAUCGAAUAUCUUGAUCAUUUUAUCACAACAGAAGGUGUGCCUACUAAUCCUAAAAAUAUUAAAGUUGUGAAGGAAUAAACUACUUCUUCUACCUUGAAAUAGCUAAAGGAAUUCUUGGGGCUCGCUGGUUAUUACAGGAGGUUUAUACAAGGUUUUGAUGUCAUUUCUAAGCCUGUUACUGACCUCACUAAGAAUUUAAAGUUGCAUAUGAGUCAUUUGUACAGUUGAAGGAAUCAUUAACUCAAUCUCUUGUUUUACUUUGUCUGAUGCAAGUGAAACAUUUGUGAUGAAGACUGAUACUAGUGGACAUGGGAUUGGAGUUGUACUAAUACAUGAAGGACAACCUAUAACCUUCAUCAAUACGACCUUAUCACCAAAACAUAUUGUUUUAUCUAUUUAUGAUAGAGAAUUAUUGGUCAUUAUUCAGGCUAUUAAUAAAUGAUCGCAGUAUUUGUUAGGGCAGAGUUUUGUUAGAAAGGCAGAUCAAAAGGUUCUAAAAUUUCUCAUGGAGCAUAAGUUACACACCAACUCUCAAUCGUUAUGGUUAACCAAGUUGAUGCCUUUUGACUACUCUAUUGAAUAUAAGAAAGGAGUAGACAAUAUAGUUGUAGAUACACUUUCAAGGGUGAUUGGAGUUGAGUUUCUUGCUCUGAUUAUCUCUCUCACUAAUAUUGCCCUCUUCCAAGCUAUUAAGAAUAGCUGGCAUUAGACCCUAAGCUUACUCAAUUGAUUGCAUAUCUACAUGCUAAUCCUACAUCUCACAGAUAACUUACCUGGGCUCAUGGUCAAUUGAGAAGGAAAAAGAAGUUGGUGAUUGGAAAAGUACUGAACUUGAGACGUGAAAUUACGUCCCUUUAGCAUGUUGUACCAUUUUGGGGGCAUUCAAAAGUUGAUACUACUCUCAAAAAAUUAUUGACACUAUUUUAUUGAAAAAUAUUAAACGCAAAUGUGAAGGAUUUCAUUCAGAAAUGUGAUAUUUUUCAGAAAAAUGAGUGUAACUUAGCUUCUUAUCCUGGUCUACUACAACUUUUACCCAUUCCUGAGGUGGUACGGUCUUAAAUUAGUAUGGAUUUUACUGAUAGUUUGCCCAGAUCACAGGGGUUUGAGGUGAUACUUGUGGUGGUGGACAGACUAUGGGAACUUCAUGCCACGCAAACAUCCAUAUACUGCUCAGGUGUUUUUUGAUACUAUUGUGAGAUUACAUGAAUAGUCUGAUGCCAUCACAAGUGACAGAGAUGCAUUCUUUCUUAAUGCGUUCUAGCAGGAGCUCUUUAACAUCCAAAGUGUCGUGUUACACAACUCUACUCCAUAUCAUCCUCAGUUUGAUAUGUUUGGAAACUUAUUUGAGGUGCUACUACAGUGAUGACCCCUCUUCUUGGGUUGUUUGUUUGCCUAUGGAUGAGUACUGCCAUAACACCUACUUUCACUCAGCUAUUCAGAUAACACCUUAUAAGCUUCUAUAUGGCAGGCCAUAUCCUCUACAUCUUCCUUAUUUACCUGGUGAAUCAGCUUCUGCUAAGUUUGACACCACAUUCAUCAAUAAGGAGCUUAAACUACAACUUUUUAAGCACUACUUGAUCAGGGCACAACAUAGGAUGAAACACCAGGGUAAUGUACAUAGGAGUGACAGGAGUUUCCUUGUGGGAGAUUAGGUUUAUUUUAAGGUUCAACCUUUUAAACAAGCUAUUAUCUUUAACCAUUCAUCUCAUAAGUUGGCUGUCAAGUAUUAUGGAUCAUUUCAAAUCAUAAAGAAAGUUGUCCCUGUGGCUUACACACUUCGACAGCCUAGUUCUAUCAAGAUUCAUGCCAUUGUAUAUGUUUCCUUAAUUAAGAGGUGUUUUGCAGUCCCUUCCAUUAUCUCUCACCCUCUUACUAUAGACUUAGCCAAUCCAAAUUGUCCUAUGCCUAAAGCUACUUUACAAAGAAGGAUGGUCAAGGGGGGUAAAAAGUUGUAGCUCAAGUAUUGGUUAAAUGGUGCGAUUUACCUGCUGAUGUGGCUACUUGAAAAUUUGCUACAGUAUUUAAGACUAGAUUUCCUUCAUUUGAUCCUGGAGGACAAAGAUCUUUCUAUUGGGGAGAGUAUUGUUAUCAUAAAUUGAAGUUAGUUAGUACAACUACAAUGCUUACUUUUCAAUAAAUUAUUUAAGUUUGUUAGUUGGUUGUUAGUUAGAACUGCUAUCAAAGAAUAUCUUCAUUAGAUAGAAUCAAUCAGUACAUAAUCUAUAAAUAGUACUUAUAAUUAUUUUUACAUUCAUCUAUGAAAUUACAACUUUUUCUUCCUAAACUCUAUCUUCUUCGUCUCCCCCCCCCCCCCCCCCUUCUCCUCCUCUUUCUCCUCCUCCUUUUUCUCCUCCUCCUCCUCCUUCUCCUCCCCCUCCUACUUCUUCUUCUCCUCCUCCUUCUCCUCAAAACAAAUUCUUCUCCUUCUCCUCCUCCUCCUCCUCCUCCUUCUGUUCUUCUGUUUCUUCUCUUCCGCCUCCUCCUCCUCCUCCUCCUUAUUCCUCGUGUUCUCUCUUGGUUGUACCUCAAAUUCAAUUCUUGGACAAUUUCUUGAUCCUCAAAUUCUUAAGAUUCCUGAUAUCAAGUAACAAGCGGUCCCAAAUUAAAAUUUGAAAAACUUACUCUUUAUAGAUUGUAGUAAAUAAAUUUCUUCUACAUUGUAUCUUGUAUAUUAUACUAGUAUCUCCAUCUCAAAAUAGUUGGCAUAUUUGAUAAAAAAAAUUCAUCUCAAAAGUUGGCAUGUUUAAGAUCAAGAGAUAAUUAAUCACUUUUUUUUCAAUUCUAUCCUUAAUAAUAAUUAUUCUGGAAUUAAAAGGUACGUAACUAGAUGAAAAUUAAAGAAUUAAUAAAGAAUAUAUUAGUCAAAUCACAUUCCUAAUUAAUUUUGUAAGAGUUGUACAAAAUCUAUACAUGUCAACUAUUUUAAGACGGAGGAAGUAUUAUAUUAUUUUUUUCCUUUUAAGGCUUUAUAUAAAAGAUAAAUUUUGAUCGAACAAAAAAAGAUGGUAUUAUUAAAACACAUCUAAAGUAAGUUAUUUUUUCAAAGUAUUUUAAUACGCAUAAUUUAUAGUGUUAACGGAAGGGGAAAAGAAGAGAUCAUUUGCCAAUGACAAAGGUACCAAUGGUCCAGAAACUCUAGUGAAUGUACCCUAAGAAAAUAUUUUUAAUGGUAGAGGGAUAAAUUUCAAUUUCUCUUCAGUAAUCUAAUAUUAUUACAGUAGAUCACAAGGAUAUUAUUCUUUUUAGCUCUGUAUUCUGUACUCACUUCAAAAAUUAAUUAAUCAAAAUCUAUAUCGCAUAAAAUUCAUUAAAAGGAAAACACUCCAUAGUAAUUUGUUGGGAGCCUUGUUUUACCCCAAUAGAAAUCAUGACUAUUGGCUAUUAGGUGGAAAUCCUUAUGAAUCUUUCUUGGCUAAUAAAAGCUUCUGUAGUGAAGUGAAAACAUGACAUUUUUGGCUUUGAAGAGCAUAAUAUUUGUUACAGACUAAGAAGCUUUUAGUAGUGUGUUUCUGUUUAGAAAAUGUAGCUAAUGAUCACCAACAAAAGUUGCGGUGUCCUUGUGAGUCCUUUUGGACAUAGAGUUGUCUUUGUUAGAAAACCCUUUACCCUCAAUGGACUUCCCAAUAUAAAUUCAAAUUUAAUCGAACUUCUAUAUGAAUAUCGCAUAAAAAGGUAGAAAAUUAAAAAAAAGUUGUAGCAAAUGAUAACAACAACAACAUACCCAGUGUAUUCUCACAUAAUGGGUCUGGAGAAGGUAGAGCAUAUGCAGACUAGACCACUACCUCAUGAGAAGUAGAUAGGUUGUUCCCGAUAGACCUCCGGCUUAGGACCGAUAACAAUAUAACAAACACAAAACAUAAAUGCAUAUAAACUUGUACAGUAUGCAAAAUAAACUAACGUCGCUAGCCACAGAAUAAUACUAGAACCACAAGAUAAUAUUAAAAACUAUCUAUUCGAAACCAUAGACAUCACUCAAUACCCCGAACAAGAAACAUCAGACACAAAUAAAUAACACUCCUACUGUCAAGUUGUGGCAAAUGAUCAAGAAGAAUAAAUAAUGGUUCUUUUGGGAAUAUCUAACAAGUGAGACUAGAGCUUAAGGAUUGGCUCUACCUACAAAAGUUGGAGCGAAGCGGUAAGUACUCCUCGAUCCUUAAUAAAAGGUCUCAAAUUCGAAUCCUGAGUAUGAAUUUAACUUUGAUAGGGAGAUUUUUUGGUGCAAACGAAUUAGUCGGACUCGGAAAAGAAUACUGAACGGUGAAAAGCAACAAAAGAAAGUGUAUUGAUUCUUUUUCAGACAAUACCAAAGAAACUUCUACCAUCUCCUGAGGAUCUCACAAUGAUUUAUUAGAUUAGUUGGUUAAAUGCACGAGUUAAUGGCUCAAAGUACGUAACAAAGUCAUUUUUAUUUAUUUUAUCACAGAAAAAAUCAUAUUUUUUUAACAGCCAUUUCACACCCAAAAAACGUUCUAGCCACUUUUGUGAUUUUUUUCAACACCCUAACUCAUGAUUCGACAUUAAUAGCAAUCCACAUGGACAUAAAUAAUCCCAAAAUGAAAAAAGAAACCCAACCCCCUCUAACCAUGCAUGUUGACAUUAAUGUAGAUGAAGAUUGCAAGAAAAACAUAGAUAGAGACACACACACAGAAAGAGCGAGCAAGAGAGAGAGAGAUAAUGUUUAGAAAGAGUAUUCUAUUUGUCCAAAAAUGAGUCAUGAUUCUUAAAAAUGGCAGAUACGAUACAUAGUUUCUCUCUAAUUUCAAGUUAUCAUUUGUGCCCAUGAUGUGAAGCCAUGGUUCACUAAUCUUUUGAUGUGAUGACCAACAAUCCCAAUGCACCUAUUAAUAUAUACUGCAUAAACAGGCAGAGAAAAAGAACCUAAUAUCAGAAUUUCAUUGGACCUAGCUAGUCAACAUAUAAAACUCACAAAAAAAAAAAAAAAAAAAAACACUCUUAUCAAAUAAAGUGAAAGCAAAAUUAGAAGUUUGAUUCAUGACGAACCUUGAUAAUUGGCUUUUCAGUCAUGAUUAUAGUUACCCACCCAACAUAAGGCAAGAACCUGAAAUUGACAAGCAACUGCUUCAGCAUACAAUGAACAAGUAGGUAACGCAAAACGAGCAACAAUAAAAAUAACUUCACGGUAUGUUUCCACAGAUGGAGUUUGGGGAGGAUGGGGUGUACUACUAGACUUACCCAACGUUUGUGAGGUAGAGAGGUUGUUGUUUCCGAUGGACCCUCACCACAAGAAAAACAUUUUCCAGAACAGGUUUGAAAGCUAUGAUGAAAAUGUCGAAGAAAGAAAAGUAUUGACAGUAAAAGUAGUACUACAAAAAAAUGGAAAAAGAAAUCAAAAAGAGAGAGAUAGAGGAGUGACUACUUCAAUCCUUUCUCAAGUAUCAACAGGUUCAUGAAACUUCCCUAGUAUGGAAAUAGUGACAGAAAAUAAUGACAAACUUCUAUGCAAAAGUUUACUUAAAGGGGAGAACUUCAAACGGAAAAAGAUAAACACUAUGAAUUUUGCAAACUUUUGAUGGGAUUCCAAUAUUGCAUCGAGUAGCAACUGAAAGGAAGCGGUGCAUAUUCAAAAGAUAAAGCCUAGAAAGGAACGAGCGGCCAAGGCAACACCAACCUAACAACUGCUGAUAGGUCUCUAAAGCACAAACAUCAAGAAAUGAGAAACCAAAAAUCUAAAGAGUAUAUCUAAUUGUCAACUCACCCAACAGCUCUCCCCAUGAUGUGGUGACGUUGCAGCCAGAGUUGACCCUGGGCAUAGAGAAGUCUGUCAUCACCAAAGUUGUUGUCUCCUGAAGAUAUAAAUCAUAAAAAAGCAAGAAAAUUAAUGAGUCAUCAUUCAGAACAAAGAACCAUAAAACCUUGCUUAACAAUUAUUAGGGGGCAAGCAACAGCAGGCUUUUUCAGAUGAUAAGUACAAAGAGACAGAGCGGAGAGCUCAUUGUUUGAAGUAAACUCUUUCAUUAAAUGGAAAACUAUGAAAUGAUUGAUGUGAAUAUGAAAUGAUUGAUAUGAACCUUAUAAACUGUAAGAAAUUUACGAUAACUGAUUCUCAAUGCAUAGAGAGAGAGAUCCGUAUACAACAUACCUGAUCUCUACCUAAUAUGCAUCAUAAAAUUACCUUUUGUUAGGACAUCAACUUCUCCCGUGUCUUUGCGCUCGUGAACCUAUACGGGGAAACAUAAAAGAAUAUUGGUGGUUAAGUUUAAUCAAGAGGAAGAAAAGUGGGCAGACAGCAAAUGUAGGACACAACCAAAACUAGUUAAGUACAUGAAACACAUGCCUUCUUGUCAGCAUGAUUCAACAAUAUUUUAAUUCCUGUUCCCUUUUCGUUCAGAGGGUUGGUACUUGGGUUGGGUUUGGAAGUAAAUACAAGUGUUAUUACAAAUUGAAUUAUCAAGUGAAGAAAACAAUACAAUAUGUUGCUGAUUAUAAUUGUCAAAUGCUAUUUUCUGUUCUCGAUUAGACUCAUCAGUGGUAUAUGACUGCAAAAUUUACUUUUUAUAUAUGUAUGUCUCUGUUCUCUCAAUUAUCAAGGAAGAGAGAAAGGGAAAAUCAUCAGCCAGUCUCCAAACCAACCAUACCCCAGCGGGUGAUAAACCCUAAUCUAAUUAUGGAAAGAGAGUCAUCUAUCACUUGAUUCACUUCAGAAUGCACUUCAUUUAUCAGUCCUUUAUAGCCGUCUUUUCAUUGUCAAGUUUUAAUAAUUAAUUGCACAUUCCUUGUUUUACUACCAACGCAGAGAAACAUUAGAUGCAGGCAACCAAGUUAUUAUAACCAAACACAACCAGAUGAAAGAAUAUGUUGUGUAGAGAGCAGACAUUCCAACAUACCUUUAUUACUCGAUGAACAAUUGGAAUUUCACGUCCCUGUGCAACAAAAUACAUGCCAUCAACAUAAGUAAAUUUCAAAGUCAACAUAAAUGACAGCAUAAAUUUCAGCUGGAUGAUCUUUGACAGAUUAAAAUCCAACCAAUGAAAUAGAUACUAGUAUUUAUGAGCAAAACUAAAUGGGGCCUAUUCGAACCAUAUUAUUUCCUUGGAUCAAUCUUGGACUACAUCACUACAGUUGUGUUUUCUAAAUAAAUAACCCAUGUUGGAUUAUCUGCACUUCUAUCUCGUAGAGAAAGUUACAUAUUUUAGUUAGAGACCAAUUCUUUUUAUGGGGGGUGAGGCGGGGGAGAUUGAGGCCAUUGUUUCAAGAGUUAUAUCAUAUUUAGGACUCUAUAUUCUAUUAAUUGAAUUUCUUUGCAUUUCGUUUUUCUUUCUUUUUUUUUUUUUUUAAAUGAACGAUAGUUGACGAGUGAAUACAUUAUGAAUUGAUCUCAUCAUUAUAUCUCUCUUCCACCUCUUAAUAUUUUUCCCUCUCUCCAUUUCGUUGAUUUCUUCCACCUAGCAUCUCUACUAUCUCCCUUUUAGUACUAAAUCAUCUUCAAUGGAAGCUUCUCAAUUGCAUUGGUGUUGAUUCAAGUCUAUAGACUAUCACAUCCUAUUUAAUGAUUUCUUCCUAGCAUCCGAUACUUAAUUUUCCAUCCAACUGAUUCCCCGACAAAGAUUUCAAAAUUGAUUUCAUUAACUUAUUUCAUAGUGCAUGCUAGCAAAUCUAAAAUGGAAUAAAUAAAGGUCUCCCAUCAGUUGGGCUUUAAGAUGAGGUGCUUCACGCUAUAUAACAUGACAUCAUGGUAAAAUUGUGCUCCUGCAUUUAACUCUCAUCCCCAGAAAGAUAUCAUGUACCCAGGAGAAAAGAUUCUACAUGUAAGAGUGAUGCAUAUCUAAAUGAAUACAUAAAUGUACCCCCCUCUAGUAAAACUACUUAAUAAACCUUUAUACGACGCAAUUCGCACAAUUCAACAUUCUGUACAUCAAGACCAAUUCCAUCAAUUUUUAUUCCUACUUGUUUUGUACCUCCAACCCCAUACCCUCUGCCCAAACGAUAUUGAUUAUUAACAAAAAAUAUGUGCCUUGACCUGUUGGUGUGGACUAAAUAGAAUUUUUGACAGGUGCUAAGUAGUUUCUAUUUUAACAUAAUUAACUCCCAAGUAAUUGGCAUUGGCAAAGCUGACAAUACAAAGAAAAAUUGUUAAUCAUGUAUGUUUAUCACCUCAAAAGCCAAAGUAACUCGAGCAGAAAACAGGUAAAACAGAAGAUGCUGGUAAGCAUUACUUACGUCAACAUUAAACACAACAAUUUCUCCCGCACGAAUAGGAUCCUUACUCAUGUGCAAGAAAAGAAUGUCACCCUGCAAGAAAAUAGACGAUGCUUUUAGUAAUACAAAGUCAAAAGAGCAACUAACACUCCACGUAAAGAAGUAUUUCUACUUCUCACUGAAGUGCAAAGAAAAAAUAUUCAGGAGAGUUCUCAGUUGAGGUUCUUCGACAGUAAGAAAGACACCAGGAUCAUACUGUCAUUGACACAUGAAAAGCGUCCGUUACACAACAUGCCCCCCCACAAAACCCCUCCUCUUUUUCCUUAUGAAAAAGUUUCUUUAGCUCACCCUUUUAAAGCCAGGUUCCAUACUUCCAGAAAGCACAACCACCACAGGUGACUCGCUGCCAGUUAUACACAUCAAUGCUUUCCAUAUUAUAAGCGCUGAUGUAACAAUCAUACCUGAAAGUGAUCAUGUGAAAAAGGGUCAAAAUAAAGAACAUUAACCUUUACAAAGUAAAAAAAUAGAAUCCAUCAACUUUCAUUUUUAUACUGUUCCACACAACAAAGAACUGAAUAUAGAAUUCACAUUUCAUAGUGAAUUUUGUAGCGAAAGAGAGGUAGAGAGAGAUGAUCUCAAAAGAAUAUCCACAUCUAAGGCUGUCCAGUGUUCGUCCGAAAUCAACUUUUUCAGUGAGGUAUUAGGUUGAACUGAUUUUGCCCAAUAAAAACGUAUUAAAAGAAUUUAAACUAUAUUUUUCAAAUUGCUCAAAUACUCUGAUACUCAGUUCUUCAAUUUCUUUCAAGAAGUAAAUUUUGAGUUGAAAGAUUUAAAAAAAUUGAGUUUGAAAUUACUUCCCAAUAUAGUCAACUUUUGUUUUGCAAAACAGCUAAAACAAACACUUGAAGAAAAAUUUAAGAACUUGAGUUUCAAGUUCAAUUCUUUAAACCAAUGCUAACUAGAUAUCCUCUAUCCCAAACAAAAAGUCCAAUUUCUAGCUCGUAUAAUCUAAUCCGAAACAAACCCAAUGCUAAACGAUAAAUCAUUGAGAACAUGAUAGAGAAUUAGCUUGACUCUCAUCUGCAUUAGUUCCAUAUUUGCACAAACUUAAGGAUUUCAGAAGAUGAGCUUCAUGGCUAAUCACUUUUCUGCACCAUUUUAAGUUUCAUAAUAUCCUUACACUGAGGACAUAACUGAUUCGAAUACAAAGUGUUAUCAAUUUAAUUAGAAUUCAUUAAUGUAUAUUACUGACGCCGGCGACGGCGUCGAUUGAGCCGGAAAAGGUAAGGUCGAACCUCUCUCCCACCCCAGAUCUCCCUCUCCCCCAGUUUCCUCUAUAUACUGUAGCGAAAGAGAGGUAGAGAGAGAUAAUCUCAAAAGAAUUUCCACAUCUAAGGCUGUCCAGUGUUCGUCCGAAACCAAUUUUUUCAGUGAGGUAUUAGGUUGAACUGAUUUUGCCCAAUAAAAACGUACUAAAGGAAUUUAAACUAUAUUUUUCAAAUUGCUCAAAUACUCGGACACUCAGUUCUUCAAUUUCUUUCAAGAAGUCAAUUUUGAGUUGAAAGAUUUAAAAAAAUUGAGUUUGAAAUUACUUCCCAAUAUAGUCAACUUUCGUUUUGCAAAACAGCUAAAACAAACACUUGAAGAAAAAUUUAAGAACUUGAGUUUCAAGUUCAAUUCUUUAAACCAAAGCUAACUAGACAUCCUCUAUCCCAAACAAAAAGUCCAAUUUCUAGCUCGUAUCAUCUAAUCCGAAACAAACCCAAUGCUAGACGAUAAAUCAUUGAGAACAUGAUAGAGAAUUAGCUUGACUCUCAUCUGCAUUAGUUCCAUAUUUGCACAAACUUAAGUAUUUCAGAAGAUGACCUUCAUGGCUAAUCACUUUUCUGCACCAUUUUAAGUUUCAUAACAUCUUUACACUGAGGACAUAACUGAUUCGAAUACAAAGUGUUAUCAAUUUAUUUAUAAUUCAUUAAUGUAUAUUAUUGACGCCGGCACUGGCGUCGAUUGAGCCGGAAAAGGUAAGGUCGAACCUCUCUCCCACCCCAGAUCUCCCUCUCCCCCAGUUUCCUCUAUAUACUGCCACCCCCUCAAUUCCCUUCUUGUCCCGUCGCUACAGUCACCGGCGCAUUUAGGGUCCCCGCCAGCUCGACUUCCGGCAUCAGGGAAGGGUUUCAUCUGCGGCAAAAAAGGUAGGUCAAACAGGUGGUUCGAGGUCAGCAGACGUCCAGAUCCCAGAUUCCAGCAAGACCCGAAAGCCUCUCCAGCGACGUACCAGCAGUCUUUUUACCAGCUACCUUAUAUCGGCAAUAAACUUUUGACACCAAAUCGACGGAACCAGCAGCUAGCAGGAGUACCGGUGACAUCUAAACUUUUAUUCAUUUAGCCACUUCAUACAGUUUUUGAUUCCUUUAUAUUAUUUGUUACUGUCUCUGUUUCCCUUUUUCUGCGUCGUUUCCUGUUGCUUGUGUGUGGCUGGCUGCUUUGUUUGGAGAGAGUUGUUGAGUUGUGUUCUGGAUUAUUUCAUCGCUCGACUUAGUUAUAACUUGUGGGAUAUACUUUUUCCUUGUUUACUCCUUCUACUUUGCUUGUGCCUUCUAUUUUCUGCUGUUGCUUUAUUACUAUCGUUGUUUGUUUUCUUGUGGAGUUGUGGUUGUGGGCUUUGAUGGAAGGAUAGCGUCAUGUCUGAGGGGGUUAGGGAGGGGGGCUGUUUUGAGGGUGGGGGAGGAGGGAAGGGCAGGCGGGGGAGUAGGGGCAAGGUCUGGCGUUAGAGGUGGUAGAGGAAAACAUGUUGCUAGAGUCGAUAAGCUGAGGUUGGGGUCUUGGAAUAUAGGGACUCUUCAGAGCAAGUCUAUAGAGCUGGUGAAGAUUCUUAGAAAGAGGAUCAAUAUUGCGUGUGUGCAGAAGACUAAGUGGGUAGGGUCUAAGGCUAGGGAUGUAGAUGGGUACAAGUUAUGGUACUCUGGUAGCGAGAGACGUAGGAAUGGAGUUGGCAUCUUAGUGGAUGAAGAGCUUAGACGGCAGGUAGUGGAGGUUAGGAGGAUCAGCGAUAGGUUGAUGACUAUUAAGUGUUAAGUUGGUCAUUGGGGGGUUUACCCUGAACGUGUGUAGUGCUUAUGCGCCGCAGGUGGGCUUGGGUGGGGAGGAGAAGAUGUGGUUUUAGGAGGCUUUGGAUGAGGUGGUGAGAGUGCCUAGUUCUGAGAAGAUUGUGGUAGCAGGGGACUACAAUGGGCACAUUGGGGCAUUUCCGGGAGGCUUUGGCGAUGUGCAUGGUAGUUUUGGUUUUGGGGAGAGGAAUGAAGAGGGAGCUGCUUUGUUGGAUUUUGCGAGGUCCUUUGGGUUGGUUGUGGUGAAUUCGAGCUUCCCGAAGAAGGACGAUCACCUGAUCACCUUCCGAAGCGCGAUAGCCAAGACCCAAAUUGACUUUUUGCUGCUUAGGAAAGGGGAUAGGAUGUUGUGUAAGGACUGUAAAGUCAUUCCGAUUAAGAAUCUUUCGACUUAACAUAUGCUUUUGGUAAUGGACUUGGGUAUUUUAAGAAAGAUAAGAAGAGAAGGCAUGAGGAGGGUAGACCUAGAAUUAAGUAAGGUGGCUUAACGCCGGCGACUGCACGGGAGAUAGAGGAGAAGGUGGAGGGAAUGAGGGUAUGGGAGUGUAAGGGAGGUGUGGAUGAUGUGUGGGAUAGGAUGGCUAGGUGCAUCAAGGAGACUGCUAGUGAGGUGUUGGGUAUUUCUUGGGAUCGGGCUGGUCACCGUCAGGGGGAUUGGUGGUGGAAUGAAGAAGUUAAGAAGAAAGUGAAGACGAAGAAGGGGGCGUAUGCAAAGUUGAUUGAGAGUAAGGAUAAAGAGGAGAAGCGGGCUAAUACGGAGGAGUGCAAGAUAUCUAGGAAGGAGGCUAAGGUAGCAGUUACGGCGGCUAAGAUAGCAGCGUUCGAGAGCUUGUAUACGGGGUUGGAGGCGAAAGGAGCGGAAAAGAGAUUGUUUAGGCUUGCUAAGACUAGGGAGAGGAAGGGUUGUGACCUCAACCAGGUGAAGUGCAUUAAGGAGGAGGAUGGUAGAGUGUUAGUGGAGGACGGUCACGUUAAGAAGAAAUGGCAGACGUACUUUGAUAGGUUAUUGAAUGAUGAAGGGGAUAGAGCUCUUGUGUUAAGGGAGUUGGAGCACUCUGAGGAGUGUCGUGAUUUUAGUUAUUGUAGACGCUUUAAGGUAGAGGAGGUCAGAGAGGUUGUUCGCAGGAUGCAUAGGGGUAGGGCGACGGGGCCUGAUGAGAUUCCUAUGGAUUUUUGGAAGUUUUCUAGCGAGGCUGGCUUGAGAUGGUUGACUGGUCUAUUUAACGGCAUUUUCAAGUCGGCGAAAAUGCCCGAGGCUUGGAGAUGGAGGACUAUGAUCCCUCUACAUAAUAACNNNNNNNNNNNNNNNNNNNNNNNNNNNNNNNNNNNNNNNNNNNGUUUAGGUUGAGGAGGUUAGUGACUAUCUCGACAAACCAGUUUGGAUUUAUGCCUGGGCGCUCGACGACGGAGGCAAUUCACCUGGUGCAGAGACUGAUGGAACAGUAUAGGGAAAGGAAGAAGGACCUGCACAUGGUGUUUAUCGACUUGGAGAAGGCGUACGACAAAGUCCCUAGGGAGGUUCUCUGGAGAUACUUGGAGGUGAGUGGAGUCCCGAUGGCGUAUAUUAGAGCAAUCAAGGACAUGUAUGAUGGGGCUAAGACUCAGGUUAGGACGGCGGGAGGAGAUUCAGAGCAUUUCCCAGGGAUCUACUCUUAGCCCAUUUUUGUUUGCUUUGGUGAUGGAUGUGUUGACGCGGUGUAUUCAAGGAAAGGUGCCUUAGUGUAUGCUUUUUGCUGCUGAUGUAGUUUUGAUGGAUGAGACGCAAGUGUGUGUGAAUGAUAAACUAGAGGUGUGGAGAUGGACCCUUGAGUCUAAGGGGUUCAGGUUGAGUAGGAGCAAGACAGAGUAUUUGAAAUGCAAGUUUAAUGACAUACGGAAGGAGAACGAAGUGGUACUAAGGUUGGAUUCCCAGGAGGUGUGUAAGAGGGAUAGUUUCAAGUAUCUCGGGUCCUUGAUUCAAGGGAAUUGUGAGAUUGACGAGGAUGUCUCCCACUGUAUUGGGGCGGGAUGGAUGAAGUGAAAGCUCGUCUCGGGGGUGUUGUGUGAUAAAAAGGUGUCGCCCAAGCAUAAAGGCAAGCUCUAUAGGGUGGCAGUUCGGCCGGCCAUGCUUUAUGGACCGGAGUGUUGGCCAGUCAAAAACUCUAACAUUCAAAAAUUAAAGGUGGCAGAAAUGCGGAUGUUGCUUUGGAUGUGUGGGCUUACUAGGGGUGAUAGAGUUCGGAAUGAGACCAUUCGGGAAAAAGUUGGAGUGACUUCGGUGGAGGACAAGAUGCGGGAAGUUCGAUUGAGAUGGUUCGGGCACGUGAUGAGGAGGAGCACGGAUGCCCCAGUUCGUAGGUGUGAAAGGCUUGCGUUGGAUGGCUUCAGGUGGGGUAGGGGUGGGCCGAAGAAAUACUAGGGAGAGGUAAUUAAGCGGGACAUGGAGCAGUUGCAGCUCACUGAGGACAUGACCCUAGAUAGGAAGAUCUGGAGGACGCGAAUUAGGUUAGAAGGCUAGUGCCAGUUUGGGUCGUUGGGGUAGGGCUUUACUUGGUGGGUGUAUUAUUCUUGUUAUGCCACCUUGUUGCAUGCUUUAUUACGAAUUUGUUUACUAUUAUUUGUUUAUGAUUCAUUGUGGGUGGCUUAUUUAUGUCUUCUCAUCUUGUUCCAUGCUUUAUUACGGAUUUGGUUAUUAUCUCGUGUCUUGAGCCGGGGGUCUAUCGGAAACAACCUUGCUACUUCUUCGGAGGUAGUGGUAUGGACUGCGUACAUCUUACCCUCCCCAAACCCCACUAUGUGGGAAUACACUGGGUUUGCUGUUGUUAUUGUUGAGGACAUAACUUAUUCAACCUUGCCACUCAAUUAAGUUAUUUCUUGCCUUCUCACACCAAAAAAAAUAUUUAUAUGCAUAAAAGAGUUCUCUUAAUUUGUUACACAGACUUAAGAUGUACUUGAUUUGGGUCUAAAUCUUUCAGCCUGUUUCAUGUUCUAUAGUUCACCUUGAGACAACAAGUUCAAUUAUUAUAUAAAGAAGAAUAAGAUAUAGAACUUCUCGUAGCAAUCUGCCCAACCCAAACAAGCACUAGUACAAGAAACCGUUAGCGACCAAAUAAAUGCCACAUAACAAGCUUACAGACCAAUGGGACUUGGUCAUUAGCCUUGAAUAAAGCUCAACAAUAGUAAAUAGGCAUCUAAAUUUGGUUUCUUUGGUACUAAAACCAAUCCUAAUAAAUUUAAAAUGCACCAUGAAACAACAACAUAUCCAGUGGGUCUGGGGAAAGUAAAGUGUAUGCAAUCCAUAACACUGCCCAGAUGAAGUAGACGCUAUUUCCGAUAGACCCCUGGCUCAGGACAGACACCAGUAUAACAAACAAAAAAUAUAUAAACACAACACCGAACAAUACAAGAAACAAGACAACCAUAGAUUAAUAUUAUAACCUAUCUAUCUGACUGCUUUAUAAACUACCUAUCCAACGGCUUUAUAAACUAUCUAUCCGACGUCCCAAAAAAGACACCAGUAUAACAAAUAAAAAAUUAUAAAAACACACAACCGAACGAUACAAGAAACCAAAUACCCAUAUAUUAAUAUUAUAAACUAUCAAUCCGAAAUCACCAUGAAAGAAUCAAGACAAAUAUACAAAAUGCUUUGUGCAUUCAAAGCAAAAAAAUCAACAAGCAAUGAGGUGAUUCCGCAAGCAGAUAAAUACUUAUUAUCCUAAUAAAAAGCAACCUAAUUUAAACUACCCCAAAGACCUAAAGACAAUUUUUUUUCAUCAAAAAUCCAAAUAAAUUAAUUUUAAAAAAAAUCCAAGAACUGACACUUUACAACCACCAAAAAACAGUAAAUUUAUUCUGAAUUGUAAAUGCAUUAAGAGGUCCAGCCCUUCCAUGGAUCCCACAUAGCUGUAGCUUUAGUACACCGGACUAUAUCGGUCAACUGAAAAUUAUACUAUUUUUAUUCUAUUUUUAAAUGGUCAAAAAUAUUUUUUAUGUACUUCUGAACCCUCAAUGAAAAUCCUAGCUCUGCCACCACAGUCAACCCAAAAGGGUCGGAAUAGAUUCGACUGAUAGGUCCAAAAAACACACAGAAUUGCAAAAUCAAACAAUUUCAACAACAAAAUUAUUAUUAUUAUUAUUGAAAAAGAAAAAAAAAACUGAAUCUACGUGUUAUAAAAUCUAAAUUGAAUUGAAAAUUUGUACAAGAAGAGAUUGAAAAACGAACCAAGACUAAUAGCUUGAGUAACGAGUUGUCUAUACUGAAUAGACUUAAUUGAAUCGAUUUGCUCUCCGAUCCAUCCCAUUUUCUACUCUCUUUCUGUGUGUAUUUUUCUUGUUGGUCUGAAUGAAUUGUAAAUCUUGAGGGCACAAAAAGUGAGAAAGGGUUUUUCUACAUAUAUGCUGGAAAUUUGGGGUGAGUUUUGAGUUUUAGUAAGUAGUGGGGCGCUUUUAAAUCCUUCCCAAAUUAAGUGUGAAUGAAUUUCUUAUGUGUUUGGAUAUAGAUUUGGCUGAAAUUUGAAAAAUAAGAAAAAAAGAAAAGUAGCAUAAACAUAUUUAUUAUAUUUAUACGAAUUUUCAUCCUUAUAAAGUAAUUACAAAA